UAAGCAAAGCAAUUUAGCACAAGAUAAAUUAGGUAAGAGGUUCCUACGGAGUACCGUAGACGCUUAGGGUGCUAACACCUUCCCUUCGCGUAACCAACCCCCGAAUCCAAAGUCUUGAGGGUUUUUACUCAUUUUUCCCUUCCCACGAAUAAAAAUCGAGAGUUCAAAGAUUGACGAUUCAAAUCAAUUAAUGGUUUGAUAUCCGAAAAUCACGAGCACAUAGUUGAUGAAUCAUUGCUUGGGUAUGCAUAUUCAUGAAUUGAUUAUGAGAAUUUGAAUUGUUGUUGGUGUUUUUUGUAAAUGGGUUGAUUUGGUGAAUUGGCUAAAAGUGAGAUUGAUUUUCAUGUUCAAUGUGUUUUUGAGUAUCCUUGUGAGUUAUAUGACCUAUAAACAUUCUUUGGAAACAUGUUUAGGCAUUGGGAGAUCAAAAUUGGGAGUUUUGGGUGAAAAAUGGGUGAAACCCGUAACUUUUGUUAUGCAGAAUUUUGAAUGGUCGCUUAAGCGACGCUAGUUGCUGUCUGAUGAAUGCACGCUUAAGCGUGCUGUAAGCGAGAUGGUAAGCGUGCAGUCACAGUAGCUACUAGAAGUUGGACGCUUAAGCGUGCUGGUGGACGCUUAAGCGUGCAGAACUUUUUCCAACACUUUUAAAACUUUGUUCCGAGCUUCCGAGGGCCAAUCCGAACUUCUUAAAACAGUUCUUUUAACUUAUAUAAUCACUGUUUGUACAAUUAAUCCUACUGGAACACUUCCUUGGACAAGAAUUGAACUUGGUUUAUGUAAUUGAAUUUCCACUUUGAAAAUUGUCAAGAACGUUGAUUGUUCCGAAAUUUGAAAUUCAAGGAAAUGGAAUGGGAGUAAAGUAGUGUAGUGAUUGUAUGAUAAAUGAAAAUGAUUGAGAUUGGUUUCCUUGAGUUUUAUUUGGUUUUGGUUUUGAAAAUGGAAGAUUCUUGUAAAAUGUUAAAGAGAGACGAACAUUGAUGAAAAUAUCCUUUUAAGCCAAUCACCUUAUAAAUCUUUCAUAUUUAGUUUUGUAUGACUAUAUGGAAGUAUUUGAUGGUUAGUUGAGUAUUGAAUGUGAUGUUUAUCUUAAGGUGAUGUAUUUUCCUCUUGACUUGAAAAGUAGGCAAAUCAUGUAUUUGAUGUGAAAUUAUGUGAAGGUGAUGAUAUUGGUGAAUCCAUAUAUAUUGUUUAUUAUGAUAUGGUGGGUGAAUAUAUAUGUUGUUGUGAAUGUGUUGAUGGUUUAAGAAAUAUUUUGGGCGGAGUUGAAUCGGAGAAAACGGGUAUUGAGCUAAAUGUGGUUUUGUCUUAGGUUUUCUCAUACAAACUUAAGCUAUCCUUUGAACUAAUUUCUAAUAGUUUGUAAGUGGCUUAUGUUCUUGACUACAUGAUUGAUUAAGAUUGAAUUGUAGGAUUUCAAACUUAAAUAAGUUGUCUAGCUUUAAAAAUUGUCAAUGUUGGCCGUUUGCCACAUGUUUUGGAUUUUUGUUGGAAAUGUUUCUUAAGCAAAUUGUCUUGUGAGUUAUUGAGAUUAUUCUUGUAUGACUAAGUGAAGUUGUAUGAAUGAAUGAUUGUAUUGAAUAUGAUGUUUAUCAUGAGAUGUGUAUGCUAUCUUACUUAGAAUGUAAGGAACGCUUGAAUGGUGAAACUAUAUGUGAUAGUUGAUGUUGAAUGGUUAUAUGUUGGAUAUGAUAUUUGUCACGAGAUGUUGUAUGUUCUUUUACUUGGGAUAUGAGAAUUGUUUGGAGUGGUGAAACUAUAUGAUAUAGUUGAUGUUGAAUGACAUUGUUGAUUAUUGAUAAUCAUGUUGAUGUGUGAUGGUGAAUACUAUGAUUUAUUUGUGUGGGCAUGUUUUCUUGAUAAUGCAAUGUUGUGGAGAUAAUCAAUAUAAUUGGGUGUCGUCCUAUAUAUUGAGUUGAGAUUGUGAAUUGUUGUCGCAUUAUCGAGUUCUUACCAUGUCCAUGCAUCAUAGUCGUUGUUGCUGUAAAAGGGAUGACUCUUUUACUUCGAGAUUAUUGUAAGGCAGAGGUGAGCCUUACAUGCGAUGUUGACUUGUCCAUCGGAGGUGACGACCUUGUUGAGAUUUGGUACCACAUGCAUUUAUGUGUCCAUAAGUGCAUAUCAUAGCAUGAGUCUUAUGUGAAGUAUGUGAUUGGUGAUGAAUUGAGAUGAAUGAUUAUUGAUGAUGUUUGUGAUUGACGAUUGUGAAUGAAUAUUUGUGAAUUGAUAAUUGUUCAUGAAAUAUGAUUAAUGAUUGUGCAUGACUUAUGAUUGGUGAUUGUUCAUGAUGUAUAUGAUCGGUGAUUGUUCAUGAUGUAUAUGAUCGGUGAUUGUGUAUGAAUAACUGUGAAUUGAUAUUUAUUUAUGAUACAAGUAAUUGGUGAUUGUUCAUGAAAUGUGAUCAAUGAUUAUUCAUGAUAAAUGUGAUUGGUGAUUGUGAUUGAAUAAUUGUAAAUUGAUAAUUGUUCAUAUGAUUGAUGAAUAUUGAUGCGAGAUAUCGGGGUUUGAUGUAAGUAUUGAUGUGGGAAUAUUAUUAUUGAUCAAGUGAAUGAUGUUUAAAUUGAAAUAUUCAUGUUAUCUGUUAUUUGGAUUAUGAUAAUGUAAUACUUACCCACACUGGAUCUGUUAUGGACCGCCUGCCUAUCUGUAUGGAUGGGUAGACGUUGUGCAGGAUUAGAUGCUUGGUGAGUUCUUGUGCUUGGUGGAUAUCUGGAGCUUUCUCCGAUAUCGGUGUUUAGAUGUUUAGUCGGCUCUGAUCUAGACUUAGUUGUGUCAGUCUAGAUUAUCUUUUACUUUGGUUUUUGUUAUGUUUGGAGAUUACCCGUUUGUUGAGAUUUUUGAGAUGCAUCUAUGUUGAUGUAAUUUAUUUAUUCUUAACAUGUAUAUUUGAAUUUACUCUGGUUUAUAUUCCGCUGCGACUGUUGAGGUUUAUAUACAUGUUUAUUGGUUUUUGAAUUUUGAAUGUGGCGUAGCCUCUAUUUCUUGAAUAAAUGUAUUAUUCGCAUGUUUAAUUGCUUUAAUAGAAGUAGGGUGUUACAGGUUGUAAGCUUCAAUGAUGAUCAUACGUGCCGUUAGACACCUAGAAAUAGAAACAGACAAGCCAAGCCAAAUUUGCUUGCUAAAUUUUUUUUGAGUACACUCCGACAUUCUCCUGAAAUGAAAGUGAAAGCGUUGAAGAGGUUGGCUGCUGAGCAAUGGAGUGUGAAGUUGUCACAUGAUCAAGUAUAUAGAGCCAAGUUAAGGGCACUAGAAAUCAUUCAAGGAGCCGGUCGUGACCAAUUCUUAUAUCUAAGGGUGAGAAGGUCCAAUCCCAAUAGUACUGUUAUUAUUAAGUGUGAUAUGGAUGAUGUGGGUCCUAUUUUCCAGAAACAAAAGAUUCAUGGGAGUGGUUUCUGAAUCUAUUACUUGAAGAUCUACAAACUAUACAACACAAACAAUAUGCAUUCAUCUCAAAUGAGCUGAAGGUGUAUAACUUACAUGUGUCAUUGUUAAUAUUUUAAUAUGCAUAAUGUUCUCUAUUUUUUUGUAAUAUUUGUUUACCAUUGGUAAUUAUCUUAGGGUUUGGUUCCGGCAAUUCAAAACCUUGGUAGUCAUGUAGAGCAUAGGCUAUGUGUGAAGCAACUUUAUGCUAAUUUUAAGAAAAGAUAUCCUGGAUUGGAUUUAAAGGAAGUGUUUUGGAUGGCAGCAAGGGCUACAACUGUUCCAGCAUGGGAGAGAGCAAUGAAUUGAAUGAAAUUAAUUAACGACAAAGCUUGGGAAUACAUGAAUAAGAAUUGGGCACCUGCAAUGUGGACUAGAUCUCAUUUCAAGAUGGAUACACAAUCAAACUUACAAGUUAACAACAUGUGUGUGAGGCAUUUAACCGGGCAAUAUUGGAGUAUAGAGAUAAACACAUCAUCACUCUUUUAAAGAAUAGUUUUUUAAUUUAGAAUGUUUUGAUGAAAGUGCAAAAUUAGUUUUACACUAUCAUCUAAUAAGGCAACUCUAUUUGGUAAAAAAAAAAAAUUAUAGAUAAUUGAAAAGUUAAUUUUAUAAUUAAUGGGUUUAUAGGGAAUAAUUUAAAAGCUACAUUACUAACGAUCACUUAAUUGUUUUUCGUAAAUUAUUGCUACUAAAAAAAUCCGAUGUUUUGCUCUCUUAAGAUUAAGGUUUCAUUUCUUCCUUAUUGAAUCACCUUCUUGCGGAGAUCCGAUCAUAUUCCUUCUGAGUGUUUGUGCUUAUAUGGUUUUUAGAUAAACUUAGAUGUUUCCAACCAUGCCUAUAUAUGCAGACCCCAAUGGAUAGUUUUUUCAUUCUCAUAAAAACCUAAUCAUGUUUGCUUUCUUUUCCAUGAUCUUACUGCUUUAAUAACAUUUCUAUUCAUGCUUGCCUUUUCAUCAUCGUUACCAUGUUUGUUUCUAAACUCAACCUUGAAGGCUUAACCUUGACAGAUGAAGGCUUAACCAUAAACCUUGAUUUCAUUUCUACUGAUACCUAAAUCCUUGACCAUUGUCUUAUUGGCCGGUUGUUGUCUAAGAAAGAGGUCAUGUUUUUGUACUCAAGGGGCUGAUGUAGUCGACUUUCUGUUUCAAUUCCACCAUCGUCUUGAUGAUGCAAAAGUUAUCAAUGGAGGACCUUGGGUUUAUGAUAACUUUAACAUGGUGAUUGAAAUGUACUGCACUGCACAUGACGUGGUUUCGACGAGUGUGAAUUUGAACACAUGGAUAUGGUUCAGGUUCAUCAGUCAUCGUUUGGUCUCAUUCAAUCUAGAGUAGGAAACAGUAUUGGGAAGUUUCUUGGAUAACUUAAAGAAUUUGAUGCUCGAAAUAUUGUGCAUAGCUCCUCUAUGCGGCUGAAGGUUCGUAUAGAUGUUGCGACGCCCUUGAGACAAGAAUGGCAUGUGCAUGAUGGAACCUAUGUUAAUAUAUGGUUCAAAUACGAGAAAAGUUAGGUGUGUUUUUUUGAAUUCUGCUCUCCACCCAGCAUAUUUUGCUCGCUCCCUGCGGCCGUUCCAAAUUUACCCUUGCGCUAGUUAACUAACGCAAGUGAAAAACUAUGCGUUAGUUAACUAACGCUGCACAAGUUAAGAUGCAUAGUGUUAACACUGACCGACCUAUAAGUGUCCUAACCCAUAAUAACAUAUCUAAGAGGUCUAGUGAAAUUCCUAAAUUGUCGUCUUCUUCCAUGUCUUCUGUCCAUUCAAGAUCUUCAAUUUUACCAAUUCAAGCUUGAAUUGGAAUUUGGACUUUAAACGGUUUCAAAUUAACGGUUGGUUUGACAUCGCCGAAACCUUCACUGGAAGCUUCAUUUUUGGCCGGUUUCGGUUCAACGUCAUCAUCCGCGACAUUGUCAACCAUCUCACUAUAUAUCUAUUGAAUAAAAUUUUUUUACAAAGGAAGAAUAAAUAAAUUACUUGUGGAACAAGCUAACCAAGAACAAAAGUGGCGCAAAAAAUUCAGAAACAUGAUUGUGCACAGUAGCGUGACUUAAGUCACGCACCCUUUACCACUUGCGCAAGUUAACUUGCGCACCUAGCCCUAUUGCCUACCGAAACCAGACGAACCAAGCACAAAAACCAGCAAAAUGAGAUGAGUUUUGAUGAUAUAAUACCUGAUAUUUGGUGCUUGAUGAGCGUAGAAACUUGCUUUCUGACGAUUUGCAAUGAUUUGGGAUGAGGAUAUUGACCUAAAAAAUUGCACUUUUUGGGUUUUUGAAGGUGGAGGGAAAGAAAAUGGUGCUUGGAGUUUGGACUAAUGGGUUUUGUACGAAAACAGUAACACUGCGUCACUUAACAUGGGAUGCGUGAGUUAAGUUACGCAGCUUUAUUUAAGGUGCACAAGGGUAAAUUUGGAACUGCUGCAUGGCGCGAGCAAAAUGUGCAGGGUGGAGAGCAGGAUUUUGUUUUUUAUUUUAUUUUAUAUGUGUGGUGUUUUGGGCCAUACAGAUAAACGUUGUGCAUAACUGUAUGAAAUGGAGGAAGAUGAUGGCUCGAGAGGAUGGGGAGAGAUGUUGCAUCCACUUUCUGGGCGUAUGGAACAGUUGCGACUAUUAUGUGAUUGUAGGACCAUAUUAAUUCAAUGAGACCAAGGGAAAUGACAUUGAAUGACGUCGGACAGAAUAUUGCAAGUAACGUAAAUUCUGUUACUAUGUCCUCCUCAAUUGUUUCGUUGGACGAAUGUAUCACUGUUGUUCAACAAGAAAUCAACGAUAUCAAGUCACGUGUUUGCACUGCUUGAUGAACGAAAUUGGCAAGUGCACCAAAAUCGUAACACAUAAUAAAGUAGUUAGUUUAUCGUUCUCCAUAGGGAUUAUCGUUCAACUUAAAAAGAGAUUAAGGACAGCUUAUAGAUUUUCUAAAAAGUUAUCCUUAGAUGACGAGGCUGCUAAAGCACCUGCAAUACUUACUAUUUAAUUGAGAAGUUUACACGUGUCAGGAUCUGCAACCUACAAAUAUUUUGGAUUAGUUUUGAACCAUAUGUAGACACUUUCUUUGGUUUCUUUUGAGGUAUCAACACGGGGCCACCACUUAACAAAAGCUUGUUUUUGUAGCAUUGGUAAAACAUUUGGUUUGAGCUUAGCCCAUAUUUGUAUUGCCAUGAAAAUAUCCAUGUUAAAGAGAAUUUGGCGAAGAAGUUUAGUUCAAUUGGAAGAUUGUCAAGAUCUUUCUUGAACCUUUUAUUAAAAACUUGAAAUUCUUCUUGUACUUCGGAAGGAAAUAUUCGAUGAAUUGGUCCAAAGUAGUCCCGCCAAGGAACCAAUUUUGGUGGCUUUAUUUUGUUUCCAGAAGAUAUGUGUCCAAGCUCGGACAAAAUCCCAAUAAUUGUAGCUGAUGGGAUCAAAGACCUGAUAAUUUUUUUUUUUUUUUUUGGAUUUUGCCCAAACGAUGUGGGUGUGAGAAUUUAGAUAAUUGAGUGUGUAAUGUUUGACGCAUCUUUAUAAUGUUUGAUGGAAAUUGAGUCUGAAUCUACCAGGAUAAAUUCAUUAAAUUGUUGUGUUUUAGACGCUAAUGGUUGGUGAAGGAAUCCUGGUGGUAAAAUCUUUAAAUAGACCUUGUUUGGGUUUUAUCCCAAAAUUCAGGUUUCAUUUGGAUAACGGGUAGGAACUUGGACUUUGGAGUAUACUGAAACUAGGUAGUUUGGUUGGUAUUGAAUUGUGUUUGGCUAGUUCCUUCUUGAAUUUGAUUAGUUUGGGUUUUUGGAUUGAGCUGCAAGGCUUUAUUUUUUAGGUUUUUGACGAUGAGGUCUAAGGACACUUGUUCCUCUUCUUCAUCAGCAACAUCUACCUAAGUCUUGUUGGGGAGAGUAACUAAACCUUGUUCUUGAAAGGCUAAAAGAGUUUGGAUUGGGAUAACAUAGUCUGCUCUAGAUUUUUUUUAUGUUCCAAUGAAUGUUUUUUCAAAGGGGAUUUGAUUUUGGGCAGAUGACCUGAUUGAGGGAUUUUGGGUUAAUGCCCCAAUAGAUUGGUUUUGGGUGGAUGAUCCCGAUUGUCUUGUUUGUCUUGCUGUUAGUUCUACCAUGACUAAAUUUGUUGAAGUCAUACCUCCUAGAAAGGAGGUGGAUCUAGCCGCUUUUGGCAUCCUACUUUUUACUCUGUAAGUUUUCGCGAGUGAGACAGCUAAGGAGAUCAUUAUCUGAACCUUUGAGAUAUUCAAUUUCAAAAUAAAAAAAUUCUUAAAAUUGCUUGCCAUCUGGAAAAAAAAAUCUUUGAAGCUAGAUUUUUAACUUCCUUUAGUAAAAUAUCUUUUGCUGACUUACAACUAAAAACUUUUGGUUAAGUAAAUCAGAUUGAAAUUUUGAAAUAGAUAAAACUAUAGCUAAAACUUCUUUUUUAACUUUGGAAUAUUUUUGUCGUGCAGGAUUCCAAUCAUGGAAGUAUUAGCAAUAAUUUGUUCUUUACCUUUUAUAAUUUUGACAACAUUUGUAUGGACGUCAGUCCAAGGAGGAGGAUCCUUUUUAAGCCUAUCAUGGAGAGGUUUGAUGAUAUUACUUAGUUGGGGAAUUGUAUGGACAUCAUCAAUAUAAACUAUUGUAAACUUUAAAAAUGGAUUAAAAAUGUCAUUCAUUAUUCUCUGAAAUUUUGAAGGAGCAUUUUUUAGCCCAAAAGGCAUAAGAGUCCAUUUGUAUUGUCCAAAAGGAAAAUAGUAAAAGUUGUUUUGUAGCGAUCUUCUUCUUUGAUUUGGAUUUGCCAAAAUCCAGAUUUCUUAUUAAAUUUAGAGAAAAAAUUUGGUAGAUCUUUCUUAACUAAUGUGUGCAUAUUUCAAGAGUUAAAGACUUGAAUGGAAAAACAAAAAGAUAAAUACUUAAGUGUUAUAAAUAAAUAAGAUAAAUGACUUGCAAAGUAAUUUUUCCUUCUUAUUAUUAGAUCUUUAUUAUUUAUAACAUUUUGACAUAUUUUUGUCUACACUUAAAAAUAUUUGAUAAUAAUUUUUUUAAAGCAAUUAUUUCAAUGUUUUUAUCGAUACAUAUAAAUUAAGUAUUAACUUACAAUUUUUAUUUCACCGUAUUCAUUAGUGCAUAUAAAUUAAUUUUCAAUCUUUUAAAGAAACAAAAUUAAUUUUCAAAUAUUUAAUUUUACGCAUACAUAUUUGAAGGGACAUAGGAGUAUAUAACUUUUGGAAUCACCAAAAGACUAGGUAAAAUAUUUGAUUGGACCAAUACCAAUUUAGAGGCACAAGAUUUAAGACUCAUUCGUUCACGCAAACAAUUAGUAAUAACUAAUAGGCUUAAUUACCUUUCAUCCUCUAACUAUUUAAUUGAUAUUAAAUUAGUCCUCUAAUUAAAAAUUGAUUUAUUUCGAUUCUUUAAGUUUCUCACCGUUACUACAUUUAGUCAUUUCUGUUAGUUUUAUUCAAAUAAAGUUUAGGGUUUGUGUUAUGAAGGUACCUGAGCUCCUGUUUCACACAUACAUAUGAAUCAUAACAGUUAUCAAUAACAUCAGUCACUAUUUAAUCAUAAUACCUUAACAAAGCAUAGAAUUAAAAUGAUACUAAUAAAUAAUGUUAGAAGAUCCACAUAAUAUAAAUAAUUCUAACGUGAAACGACUGUUAUUUAGAGACGGUGGGACUAUUUUGAUAUAAUUUUGUGACGAAAGAAAGUUGAUGUAUUUCAUUCCAUAAUUAAAUAGAGGAAUAAACACAAUACACAAUGCACUUGUUUCGCGGGAAGGACGAUUAACAAACUAUCUUCUCCUUCCAUCCUUCCAUAACUGAAAAUCAAAUCCCGCUUUUCUCUCUCUCUCUCUCUCUUCCAUUUCUCGAUUCAAACCUUCUCUCUCUUUCUCUCUCUUCCUUUCAUCUCUCACAAUGCUAUGAAGAAUCCCAAUCCAUGUCUUCCAACCCUCCACCACCGGAAAAUGAUCCACCACCAGCGACAUCGUCGCCGGUAUCCGCUAAAUCCAGAACUCUUCAGAAAUUCCCUCCCAUUGUAAACCGACGCACCGCGACAUUAUCAUCAAACAAUGUAGACGACGAAUGCAAAGAAGAGAAUAAUAAGAACAAGAAUCAUGACAAUGAGGAGGAAAGUGAAGAAGAAGAAGAAGAAGAAGAAGAAGAAGAAGAAGACGUUCUUGUAACUGAACGUGAAUUCGAACGUGCUGAAUGUUCUUAUUCUUCUUCCAUUUUGCAAGCUUCGUCGUUAGGUCUUAAUCAAAUUCGAACGCGAUUCUCUUCGCCUCUUCGUCAUUCUUCUUCUGCUGGUGCUCCAUCUUUCCCUAUAAAAGAUGUUGUCAACAAUGUCGCUAAAUUUAGAUCUAGAGUUUCACAUCCUAAAGACCUAGGUAUAUAUACACAAGGAGGUUUUAUAUUGCAAUUGCGGUUAUGCUAGCUGCGAAAUUUUAUAUUGCGACAAAAUGUUCCGGUUGCAAUCUAAGAAUGCUGACACAGACAGGGCACCGAUACGUAGACACAAAUAUCUGAAAAAAAUGGAUUAAUUAAUCAUAAUCAUUUCUGUUGGUGUCGUGUCUGUGUCAGGUCAGAUACCAGACACGUCCUCUAUCAAAAGUGUCGAUGCUCUAAAGAUUGCAAUGUCAUUGCAAUGCCUCAAAUCAUUUAUGUUGGGGCUGUAAUUGAGGUUGCGGAAUACAAUUUAAAACCACGUUCUAGUUUUAGAUUCUAUAAUAAUAUGAACCAAAAAGUGAUUUUAGAUUUUAUUGUUAAAUCUACCUCAGAUGUAUCUUUAAUUUAAUUUAAUUUUGCAAUAAAUUGGUUAGUGAAAUAUUUCAUUGUUGUUCUUUUUUAGGGGAAAAAGUUCAUUGGAAUCAAUCCAAAUCGUUGAAAGCUCGUUCACAACUCCUCAUACUGGAGGUGAUAUGUUAUACUUUUGUUUUUAUAUAUAAUAUUCAGUAAAUAUAUGUAUAUAAGUUGUGUUCAAUGUCCAAGACGUGUCAAUGUCUGGACACAGACACAUGAUUACAUUCAAUUGUGCCAUAUUUUCUAAUUGUUAUUGUUGCGACGUGAUGUGACGUGUCGUGUCUAAUUGUUAUUGUUGCCGACAUGUCGUGUCUAAUUGUUAUUGUUACCGAUGUAUUGUGUUUGGUGUUCGAGAAGUGUCGGUGUCUGAUACCAAAACGACACCAACACAUGUGAUUACAUUCAAUUAUGUCAUAUUUUCUUUUUGUUAUUGUUGCCUACAUGUUGUGUCUAAUUGUUAUUGUUGUCAACGUGUCGUGUUUGCUGGUCAAGACGUGUCGUGUUUGGUGUUCAAGAAGUGUUGGUGUCUGAUACCAAAACGGCACCAACACAUGUGAUUACAUUCAAUUAUGGCAUAUUUUCUAUUUGUUAUUGUUGUCGACGUGUCUGGCGUCCGUGUACACAAAUGCUUCAAAAAUCUUUAUUCAAUUUCAGUGAGUAUGUGUGUGUUUAGUUUAGUAAUAUUUUGUGUGUGUGUGUGUGUGUUCAAUAGUUGGAGAAAUGUAGGUAGCUCAGGUUCAUGGCGUGUGUUUUUGUACAGGGAAAUCAUGCAGCUUAUGCCAAAGAUUUUCAAUCCCCACGUUAUCAGGAAAUUCUUCGACUUACAAGUGGUAAGAAAAGGAAAAACCGGCCUGAUAUUAAAAGCUUUUCCCAUGAACUUAACUCCAAAGGAGUUAGGCCUUUUCCAGUCUGGAAAAAUCGUGCCUUUGGGCAGGUACUCUUUUUGUUUCAAUUUCUUUAUCAUCAAUUUGAAACAUAAACAACCUAAUUAAGCGCUUACAGCAUAACAAAGCGCUUAUCAUGUAUGCGCUUAUGUAUACGCUAUUGAGCACCAGGAAAAUUCAAUAUUAUGAAUUCCAGGUUCAUUCCCCAAUCAAACUUUUCUUUUAAGCUAUAAGCUGUUUUCAUAACCUAUCCUGGAGAGCUUAUGGAAAUUAGCUAAACUUGACUUAUUGAAAUGUCAUAAGCGUUCCCAAACAGUCUCAGAAGUACAUAUGUGAUCAUUAGAUAAGCUCAAAUAAAUCUGUUUUAAAACACUAAAUUUGUUAAACUACCUUCUAUGGUUUUUCAAUGAAAUGAAUUGUUACAGGAAAUCAUGGAGGAGAUUAGAGCUAAGUUUGAAAAACUAAAGGAAGAAGUUGAUUCUGAUUUGGGUGGUUUUGCUGGUGAUUUGGUGGGUACUCUUGAAAAAAUACCUGGGUCUCAUCCUGAAUGGAAAGAGGGGUUGGAAGAUUUGUUGGUUGUUGCUCGACAAUGUGCAAAGAUGACAGCGGCUGAGUUUUGGAUCAACUGUGAAACUAUUGUUCAAAAACUAGAUGAUAAACGUCAAGAUAUACCGGUGGGGAUCCUCAAGCAAGCACAUACGCGCCUGUUGUUUAUUCUCUCUAGGUGCACUCGUCUAGUGCAAUUCCAGAAGGAAAGUGUUAAAGAACAAGAUCACAUUCUUGGUCUUCACCAACUCAGCGAUCUUGGAGUAUAUUCCGAGCAAAUUAUGAAGGCUGAAGAGAGUUGCGGUUUUCCACCCAGUGACCAUGAGAUGGCUGAGAAGCUGAUAAAAAAGUCACAUGGGAAAGAGCAAGACAAACCGAUUACAAAACAAAGUCAAGCUGAUCAACAUGCAAGUGUUGUGAUUGAUAAUGUGGAAGUUACUACGGCAAGUACUGAUUCGACUCCUGGAAGCAGCUAUAAGAUGGCUUCUUGGAGAAAGCUUCCAUCUGCUGCGGAGAAAAAUCGUGUAGGUCAAGAUGCAGUAAAAGAUGAAAAUGCUGAAAACUGGGAUACUUUGUCAUGUCACCCUGAUCAACAUUCACAGCCGUCAUCUAGAACGCGGAGGCCUUCUUGGGGAUAUUGGGGAGAUCAGCAAAAUCUAUUACAUGAUGAUUCAAUGAUCUGCAGGAUUUGUGAGGUUGAAAUACCAAUAUUACAUGUGGAGGAGCAUUCUCGAAUAUGUACAAUUGCUGAUAAAUGUGAUUUGAAAGGCUUAACUGUAAAUGAACGGCUUGAAAGAGUUGCCGAAACAAUUGAAAUGUUACUUGAUUCCUUGACACCAACAUCAAGUUUGCAUGAAGAGUUCAAUGAGUUAUCUCUAGAAAGAAAUAACAUGUCAUCUAGAUGCUCUGAAGAUAUGCUUGACCUUGCUCCUGACAAUACUUUUGUUGCGGAUGAUCUAAACCUUUCACGGGAAAUAUCAUGCGAGGCUCAUAGCUUAAAACCUGAUCAUGGCGCAAAGAUAUCUUCUCCUGAAAGCUUGACACCGCGAUCACCGUUGAUUACACCCAGAACAAGUCAGAUAGAAAUGUUACUAAGUGUAAGUGGAAGAAGACCAAUAUCUGAACUUGAGAGUUACGACCAGGUAUACACUUCCAUAUGGUUAUUCUUCAUAUUAAAUCAUAACACGCACAAAAAAAAGUACACUGCAUGAAAGCAUAUAUCAUUAACUUGUAUAUAUUAUAAUCCAUGAGAUUCAUCUCUGAAAUUUUUGUCUGAUUCAUUUUCUGAAUUUGCGACAUGCUACUAUACUAGUGAUACACUCUUUUGAAUACUCACUUGAACACAUUCUUUGUGAUUGGUCUUUUUUUUUUUUUAAAAUUCAAGAUGGUUUUCUCCUUAAUUGAUGACCUUUUAAAAAGUGUUCACUUUUGAAAAAAUGAAUGCAAGAGUGGGGGCUUCCAAUCGUCCAUUCCUCUCUGAACUUUUAUAUUGAUAAUUAGACCGUCAAAUGACAGAUAAACAAGCUAGUUGAAAUAGCUCGUGCUGUUGCAAAUGCGAACAGCUGUGACGAAAGUGCUUUCCAGGAUAUCGUUGAUUGCGUGGAAGACCUGAGAUGCGUAAUUCAGAACAGAAAAGAGGAUGCACUUAUUGUGGAUACUUUCGGUCGACGAAUAGAGAAACUUUUGCAGUAAGCAUUUGUCACUUUUUCAUCUGGUUUCAGGACAACCAUGUAUUUUGGUGAUUUUUAGGAUCGAUAAGAUUUUUCCAGAUAUUUUCUAAAACCACUAAUGUCAAUAUUAGACACAGGGUCAGCCCAAGGGUCAAGCGACCCAAGUCAGAGCUUUAGGCCUCAAAAUUUUGGGCUAAUAAAAUGCCUCGAAAAAAUUUAAUAUAGUUAUAAACAUAUAAUAUGGCAAACUAAUUAUAGAUGUUUGUCUAGCUCAGUUAGGCAAGAUCAAGGCCUCAAAUCCUCUCGGUCAAACUUGAUAUUAUUGUUCUUUUUAUAAGCAUUGUGUUUAUUUAUUUAAAUUUUAAAAGGCCUGAUCAUAAAUUUGCUUUAGGCCUCUUAACACAUUGGGCCGGCCCUGAUUAGGUAGUAUAAACAGAAAAUUGUGUUCCCAUUUUUUGAGAUUUUUUUCUUUUACUGCUAUCAUAAUAAUGCUUGAAAUCUUCUGCACCAUGUAGAGAAAAAUAUUUAACUCUUUGUGAGCAAAUACACGAUGAAAGGGCAGAAUCAUCAAAUAGCAUGGCUGAUGAAGAGAGUUCAGUGGAUGAUGAUACAAUCCGUAGCCUUCGUGCUAGCCCAAUUAAUGGUUUUUCUAAGGACAGAACCUCUAUUGAAGAUUUUGAAAUAAUAAAACCAAUAAGCAGAGGUGCGUUUGGACGAGUUUUUCUUGCCCAGAAAAGAUCGACUGGUGAUUUAUUUGCUAUUAAGGUAAGCUUCCUUAAACCGAAAUGAAUCAAAUAAUUACUUUGCAGAAACAAAGCUAGAGAGAUUGAUUUAGCGAACUAUGUUAUUAAACAGUGCGUACAAAAAGCAUGUAUCUAUUCCUGAAGUUGUAAAAUAAAACUAGUAUUAUUCAGUCCAGCAAUGGUGUUAUAGCUUAUAGAAACCAUUAGUAUAGAAAGUCUUGUCAAAUUAACUAACUGAAUAAUUAGAAAACGUUUAAACUAUUCUUUGAUAUUUUUGUAGGUUCUGAAAAAGGCAGAUAUGAUUCGUAAAAAUGCAGUUGAAGGUAUUUUGGCUGAGCGAGACAUUCUUAUAUCUGUUCGAAACCCUUUUGUGGUAAGCAGGCCAUACCAUGUCAUUCAUUACUUCAUUUAUGAAGUUGAUGUUCGUUGUUAACAAAUCUAAUUUUCAUGUAUCUGUGACAAACAGGUCCGAUUUUACUAUUCUUUCACAUGUAAAGAAAAUCUGUAUUUGGUUAUGGAGUACUUAAAUGGUGGAGAUCUCUAUUCUAUGUUGAGAAACUUAGGUUGCUUAGAUGAAGAUAUGGCUCGUGUAUAUAUUGCAGAAGUUGUAAGCAUACUGGCUUUUGUAGUUUGUUGGUUCAAUUUUUUUUUGUUUUGUUUAUCGUAAUGUUUUCAUUUUUUGUCGCUCCACAGGUUCUUGCGUUGGAGUAUUUGCAUUCGCAAAGCAUAGUUCACAGAGACUUAAAGCCAGAUAACUUACUGAUCGGACAAGAUGGUCAUAUUAAGGUUAGUACAUGGAUUCGAUUCUCUUACAUACUUGUCCCUUCCUCGUCACUUUUUGUAAAUGUUUAAUCCUUGUUAUUACAGUUGACAGACUUUGGACUCUCAAAAGUUGGUCUCAUCAACAGCACGGAGGAUUUAUCAGCACCCGCAUCUUUCACUAAUGGUUUUUUAGUCGAUGAUGAACCAAAACCUCGACAUGUUUCAAAAAGGGAGGCACGUCAACAACAAUCAAUAGUUGGCACUCCAGAUUAUUUGGCACCCGAAAUACUUUUGGGCAUGGGACAUGGUCUGUAGUAACAUCUUAUCAAAAAUAAAUAACUAAAUUUAGUUUUUCGUUCUAAUUUCUUUUAAUUUUCAAUACAUUCUUAUAUACGUUUGCACUUCUGUAGGUACAACUGCAGAUUGGUGGUCUGUGGGUGUCAUACUUUACGAGCUUCUUGUGGGUAUUCCACCUUUUAAUGCAGAUCAUGCACAGGUAUGUGAAUUUUUAGCCUUUAUGUUUCUUCUCUAUUUCUUUUCCUUUACUCUUUUUUUACUGUUGACGGUAAACAAAUUCGUUCAAAUGCGAAAUCAAUGUUUAUUACAAACUAUUAGGGGCAAUCCCAAUCCAAGUUGCAGAGUCGAUUCUAACGAUUAAUGUUAGUAUUUUCACGUGUGAGUAAGAAUCUCACAUUGGAUGAUAAAGUGGAUGUUCAGCCACAAAGGCUCCACACACAUUGUGUUUUCCAAUCAUCCAAAACUUUUUUGUGGCUUUUUUUUUGAAACGUCUCUAGCGAAGACUUAUGUUUAAUAACAUCCCACACGGAAAAGAGUCUACAGAGGCACCGAGAAGUAAGAACAACAUAUUUAUGUUUAAAAUAUAAUCAUGGUGGUUUGGCCUAGAGGUUCUCAAACUUGCACAAACUUGUGUUCCUUUCAAAAUAGUUCCUCUGACAAGAGAUGGUAGCUCAGGUUUGGGUCUCAUUUUUAGAGGGGACAACAUGACGCGUGCCCGUGAAGGGACGAAAUUGUCUUCCGAAGGAUAGGGAAGCUCCAUUAGAUGAUCGAGGUGCAACAUAGGGGUUCUUGGAGGUGGUUCAGAGUCCAGAUCAGUGACAGUGGACUUGACCCGAACAUAGGAAAAAUUAUUUUCCUAUGGUGAUUAAUAGUACUCAACAUAGGAAAAUAAUUUAAUUUAAUUUAAUAUAAUUGACUAUGUUAUGUCUUCUAAGUAAAAUAAGAUGACAACUUUUCCACCUUUUUACCAAUUCAACUGGUUCUCCACUGGUCAAACUGGCAGAUCCAGUUUACAAACACAAUCUGCUACCUUUGUUUGGGGGCACUAUUGAUACUUGAUAUAUAUCCGCAUUUUUCAUUUUUACGUAGUUCUCUUUAUAUGGUUUAUAUUUGUUUAGAGUUUUAGUUUCGUUUGUUUAGAGUUUUAAUUUCAUUACAAGUACCUAUGGAUUUGUUGGAUCUUAAAGAGGUUAAGAAUUUUAUUUUGAAAUUUUGGAAGAAUAUCACAUCUAAAUACUAUUGCUCAUUGUUUUUUUGCUUGCAGCAAAUUUUUGAUAACAUAAUUAACAGAGACAUACAAUGGCCAAAGCAUCCUGAGGAGAUCAGCUUUGAAGCAUACGAUUUGAUGAACAAGUAAGCAUUAUCAAAGUAGAUAUGUAUUUUAUGGAUGUUUAAAAGCAAAUAUGCUUUGUAACUGCAAAAUUAAUAUGAACAUUCUAUUUGUAUUUACCUCAGUAAUUUUAACUCUAGGCAUCAAAGUCCUGGUAAAAAUUGAUACGUAAAUCCAGAGGGUUUGCUCAAUAUGUUUUGAUAGGACUAUGGGAGAGUAUGCUGAUGCUGCUGGUAAAAAUGGUGAUAGAUUAAGAGCAUAGUAAAUGAUUUGUAGAUUGAUUGUUUUUCAGUGAUUAGCAUGAAUACGAUAGAACCUGGUAGAUGUCCGAACCAUUUUUUUCAAAGGGCUUUGUUCCAUCCAGCAAUGCAUCCAGUAUCUUGUUGAACAUUUGUGACACGAACUCAUCAUAUCCUCUACCUGUAAGAGAAGUCGCUGUAAAGAUGUGGUUAGCAGUAGCUUACGAUUGAACACUAUUUGUUAGAACAAGCUAGACAAAUAUGAGAAAACAUGCUUUUGUUAAAUUGUAUAGAAACUUCUUUAAUUUUGCAGUGGCAUACAAUCCUCUUUUCACUUGAUACAUUAUGUUUCCUGUCAUGUUGAUUAUAGCUGACAGUGAAGUUCUCUUUCAGAUUACUGAUCGAAAACCCAGUCCAAAGAUUAGGUGUAACAGGAGCAACAGAAGUGAGUUAUUCAGUGCCUUUUGAAACGGAGUACUCGCAAAUUAUGGUAUUACAUAUACACAAUCAAAUAAUAUAUUAUUUUGUGCAGGUUAAACGCCAUGCUUUCUUCAAGGAUGUUAAUUGGGAUACGCUAGCAAGGCAGAAGGUCGUCAUUUUAAUUUUAUUUGAGUUUGAUUGGUUUGCGCCAUAUCUCUUGAUUUCUCACACUUGGGAUCCAACCAAUUUUCUGCAGGCUAUGUUCAUACCAUCGGCUGAAGCUCACGAUACAAGUUAUUUCAUGAGCCGCUACAUUUGGAAUGUAGAGGAUGAUGAACAUUGUGCUGGAGGUAGUGAUUUUUAUGACCAUUCUGAAACAUCCAGCAGUGGUUCAGGAAGCGAUUCAUUAGAUGAAGAUGUAAGAAUAAUUUUUAAUUUGAUUUUCUUGAUUUUAAGUAUAUGAUAAUGUGUUUUAAUAUAGUUUGAAAAAAAAGAUUUCACCUCAUGUCAUUUUUCUGUCAGUCCUCUUUUACCAUGAUUUUUCUGACAAUAUCUGGUUAAGCAGGGUGAUGAAUGCGCUAGUUUAACAGAAUUCGGUAAUUCAGCUCUUGGCGUGCAGUACUCGUUUAGUAACUUCUCAUUUAAGGUAAUACCUAUGAUGCUUGUCCUCAUAUUUUGUAAAUAUAAUCACAUUAGGCCAAUAUUAUUGUAUUUUGAAGUUAUCCUAAAUUACUUUGUUUAUUUGUUUGUACUGUUCCACAUGGAUUGACAAAAAAUAUCUUAUUACUUUUUUGCUUACAGAAUAUAAGUCAGCUAGUGUCUAUCAAUAUGAUGCAUAUCUCCAAAGAAACACCGGACGACUCCAACCCGUCGUGAUAUAGCAGAAGAGGUUUGUAAAUUUCUCCAAGCAGUGAGGUUCAAUUUGGCGAACUUCUUAUAGAAAAUAGUAUGAGCAUUUUCAGUACUACCACGGAUGCUACAUCCACGCAAUUACUAUAAUAUAGUAUUGAUACCAUUUUAGCAGUAAUGCGACGUGCCUCUGAAAUUCAUUUUUGUUUUCUGCUGCUCUAGUUUAGAAAUGACAAUUAUUUUCUAUAGGACUCAAUAGAGUGAAACAGACACUGUAAUGUCUUUCACCCUUUGCUGAUAUUAGAGUCUUCUUUGUAAAAAAAAAAAUGCUUCUUAAACGUUCUUGAUUGAAUUAUUUCUUGUUCAUUUUAUAACAUAAAGGACUAAAUUGGAACAAAAAAAAAAGAUAAAGGACGACAGUGUUACGUGAAAUUAAGUUAAGAAAUAAAUUGUGUAAUUUUGCCUUUAAAAAAUAAAUUUUUCUUCAAAAAACUUAAAAAUUUAAUUUCUAUUUGUAAAUCUUUUAAUAAGUGUCCUUAAGUUAGAGAGAUUGCUUCAUAACCCAAAAUCUUCUCUUCAAUGAAGAAAAUGAAAAAAGAGAAAACUAUGAUCGACUUGGUAAUGAAAAAGAGAGAAGCAUAGUCAGAGUGAGAACCUAAAAAUACCUCUUAAAAUGAGACUCAAAUAUGUUCCCUACCUAUAUUGAACAUCAUUUCAUGUUCAUAUCUUAGUUUAGCACUUUUCCAAUUUAGAUUAUUUAUCAUUGUAUUAUUUAAAUUAUUAACACUUCUUCUUAUCUUAAAUAUAAGCAAAAGAAAAAAUCAAACAAAAAUGAUGUAUCUGAUUAAAAAGUUGAACCAUAAUAUCUAUUUUGUUUGAUUUUUUAUAUUUGAAACUGACGAUCGAUGUCCUUAAUUGGAUAGAUCAGUAAUGUACAUAUUAAUGCUAAAAUUGUAAAUAUAUGUAUAUAUCUUGCAUUAUUAGUGCUAUAAUUGUUUUGAUUAAAGCAAUGCACAAAUCAGAUUAAGAUGUUAACCAUAGGUAUUCCUCUAAAAAAAUGUUAACCACAAUUAUUGCACGUCUUUAUCACAAUUUUACCAUAAUAAACAAUAAAGGUCUACUAUGUUUCUAAAUCACAUCCUAUUUGUCGAAAUGAAUUUUGAGCAUUUUGGAUAGCAAGCCAAUUAAUCCAUGUGAACUUAACAAGCCAUUACCAAGACAGAAUUCUAGAGAAGUACAUAUUUUUAGAUAUCACAAAGCAAUUCACACACACCUAUAUUUCAUAUAGUUUGAGUGUGUCAGAGAAUUUAUCCAAGUCAUGGAAGGUUUAUUUUUGGGUUAACGGUGUUUUAGCCCCUGUAAUAUAGGUCAGUUUUGGUUUUCCUCCCUGGAAAAUAUUUUUUUUAUUUACCCCUUAUAAAAUAUAUAUUUUUUGGAAUACCCCCCUAAUAGGUCAUAAAAAAACGACUUAAUUUUUUUUUGGGCAGAAUUUUUCGUUUUUUUAUGACCUAUUAGGGGGUAUUCCAAAAAAAAAAAAAAUUACAGGGGGUAAAUAAAAAAAAAAUUACAGGGGAUAAAGCAUCAUUAACCCUUUAUUUUUUUAGGUACUAGGUCGCAAAGUUGAAGAACAAAUUUUCAACCAAAUAAUUAUAGGAUAGUUGACCUAUAUAUCACACAAUUUUUAAUUGAAGACAAAAAAUUCUUAUCAUUUUUCAUUAAAAAAAAAAAUUCAAGGUAGCUGCCUGUAUCAAUAUCUAGUUAAGGACUAGGCAUGAACUAGUGAUGGAAAUUAUAGAAUGAUAAUGGGGCUUUUUUACCACCGUAGCACUGCUAAAAUAAUUAUAUACUAAAAUAUCACUAUUUUUAAAUUAUAUAUACCAUUAACAUCAUUUUUUUUGACUUUGACAACUAUUCCAUUAAACUAGUGACACGUGUCUCUGAAAAGUAGGAGAGAAUGUUUUGGUUUUGUCUUUUAUGUAGAGUUCUAUUUCUUUUUGUUUUCAGAUUGUUUCUUUAUUCUUUCUUCUAUUUCAUUUUCUUUUUAUCGUUGAAAGUUUUUAAAUUUUUGUUAAUUGUUUCGUUAUAUUAAAAAAUGAUUAAAGUUGUUAUUUUAUUUAAUCAUUAAUUGAAGUGUUUUAAUUAUUAAUUUAAGUUUUCUAACUAAUUAAAAAUAAAAAUAAAAUAUAUUUUUUGAGAAGUAUUAAUUAGAAUUUAAUAAAACAACCCAGUUGAGACUUAGGAGUGUGCUCCUCCUCGAGGUUUCAAGUUCAAUUCUCUCUGGUAUCAAUUUAGGUGGACUAAUUUAGCUUCUUAAAAAAAAGAAUUUAAUAAAACAAUGUUUCUUUUUAUUUCAAAAAUAUAAAUAAAGCUCCUAUUUUAAAAAAUUUUAAUUCUAAUUAAAUGAUUAAUUAAUUAAACUAAAUAUUAACUAAAUCAUUAAGCUCCAAAUUUAAUUAAACAAUUAAUGAAUUUCAAUUAAGCUCAACUAAUCAAAUUCAAAUCAACUAAUCAAAUCUAGAACACGGAUUAUGCUGGCGUAAGCGCUUACGUUAACAUUAUUUUAUCGAAAUCUCACUCAGCCAAUCAGAUUCAGAUCACGAAUUAAGCGCACGUCAGCGCUUACGUAACAUUAUCUUAUCAAAAUCUCAUUCAACCAAUCAAAUUCAGAUUACGUAUUACGUUGACGUAAGCGCUUACGUCAACACCAUCUUAUCUGAAUCUCAGUCAGCCAAUCAGAUCGCGUUUACAGAUUACGCUGACGUCAGCAUUAUCUUAUUCAAAUCCAAUAUAAAUAGAUAUUGUCCUCCUUAGUUCAUUACACAACAAAACUCAUCACUCAUCCUCUACACUCAAAACUAUCUUAAGAAAUUCAAGUCAUAGUCAUGCCUCCAAUAGAGUUUUUUGUCCAAGUAUAUUACAACGAACAUGUUGAAAGAACAGACACAGAAUGUGUUGUAUUUUCAUGCAAUAAUUCAUCCUUGCUUAAAGUGAAGAAAAACAUCAAAUUGGAAGGACUUAUCCAAUGUAUCCAAACAAAGAUUCAACCAGACAACUCCAAGAGGGUGGUCGAUCUUGUUUAUCGAUACCCUACAACUCUUUCACAAGGACUUGUUUGGUAUGAGUCAUUGAAUCUUGCAUGAGAUGACGAUGUUCAGAUGGUGUUUGAGAUGUUCAUGACAUGUAAACAUCUUGGUAUUUCAACAAUGCAGGUUUAUGCAGGUUUGGUGGAUGCCCCUUGUGAUGAAACUCGCGUAGAACCACCAUAUAUUGAACCAACACCCUCUUCAUACCCUCAUUCCAUGCCAAGUUCGUAUCCUUUUAUCGAAACACAAACCAACCAUCACUCCAUGCCCUCUUCAUCAGCACAUCGGUCAUCCGAACCCACCCACAACAUUGACCUCAACUCACCAUUCCAUCUACACACCCCAAAUGAUGUUGUUCGUUCCAGUGUUGUCGCUGGUGUCCAUAAUGAAGAAGUUGGUGAUUUUAGUGAGAAUGAAGAUGACAUUUUUACCCAACAUGCCAUCAACGACGAUGAGGACAAAGACAUGUGUUUUUUUUUACCCUCCCAUACACUUUUGUAAUGUGAACUUCAACGAUACCAAAUAUGUUGAAGAUGAGUUUGUACACUCUAUGUCCCGAAACCAAUCUUUUGUUGUUCCAGACCCUGAUAACUUACAAGAGGUGAUGCAAUUCCCUACGAAAGAAACGACAAUGCGGUGCAUAAAGGAAUACCAUAUGAGUCAGGCCCCAGACUUUGUGGUUGAACACUCGGAUACCAAAAGAUGGAUUGUACGUUGUUCCAAUGAUAACUGUAUGUGGAGAUGUAGGGUUAUAGUUAGCAAGAAAUCACAUGUCUAAAAGAUCUCAAAACUGCAUGGUCCACAUACUUGUGCAUCAGCAAUGGUUUCGCAAGAUUACAGACAACUAUCCUCAGCUUUCAUAUGUCAAAGCAUCCUACAAAUGGUAAAGGAGGAUCCUACAAUCUCAGUUCCAAUGUUAAUUGCACACAUACGAUCGAAGUACGCAUAUACUAUUACUUACAGGAAAGCAUGGCUUGCAAAACAAAAGGCUAUAGAGAUGAUAUACGGGAACUGGGAGAAAUCAUACACAGAACUUCCAAGUUGGCUCCUUGCUCUUCGACAUUAUCUUCCAGGAACUAUUACUGAUAUCGAAAUGAUUCCAUUUAUUGAGUAUUGUCAUGUUGUUCCGGGGAAGGCUACCUGCAAACGUCUCUUUUGGAGUUUCAACCAUGCAUCGAAGGAUUUGCUUAUUGUAAGCCACUUGUUUCAGUUGAUGGUACGUGGUUGUAUGGUAAGUAUCAUGGAACAUUGCUAAUUGCAAUGGCUCAGGAUGGGAGUAACAAUACCAUUCCGAUAGCAUACACUAUUGUUGAGGGUGAGACAUCUGAUGCAUGGAUUUUCUUCCUCCAACGCUUGCGAUUAUAGAUCACACCCCAACCCAACUUGUGUUUAAUUUCAGAUAGACACGAGUCAAUCAAAAGCGUUGUUAGGCGUCUAGACAGUAAUUGGCACCAUGUCUUCUGCAUUCGACACAUAGCUCAAAACUUUUUGAGGACUUUCAAGAACACAUAUAUGAAGAAAAAAGUAACAAAUAUGGGUUAGUAUUUUUUUGUAUACAAUAAUGCAUAUAUAAUUUACAUUUUUAAGUCCUAAACAACAUUAAUUUUUUACCUUCAGUAUACUCAAUGACUCAACUAAGCAUCACACUCUACAGGAACCAAAUCAGGGAUUGGUCUGGUGAUGCUGUGAAGUGGGUCGACGAUAUUCCAAAGAAACAAUGGCUACAAGCACAUGAUGAAGGGAGACGUUGGGGUCACAUGACAACUAACAUUUCUGAGUGCUUCAACAAUGUACUAAAAGGGGUGCACAAUCUUCCAAUCACGCCAAUUGUCCAGGCAACCUAUUACAGAUCUACUGAACUCUUCGUAAAUAGAGGGAGUAAGGCCCAAGCAAUGAUGGCAUCUGGUAAAGUUUACUCAGAUGUAGUCAUGGAUAAUCUUGCCAAACAACGAGCGAUAUCAAAUACUCAUCAAGUAUACAUUCACAAUCGGGGACAUAGCCUUUUCAGUGUUCAGGAGCUGGUUCGUCCACCAAAUGGCCGACCAACAGGAACAUUCAUGGUUCCUUAUAAAAGCUAGAUUGCGUUAGAGAAAAUAAGAGACAUACAAGCAUCAUAAAUUUAUUAGGAAAUUGACCAAUUUCCAACCAAGAACAACAAGCAUCAUAAAUUUCUCUACCAAUUAGAGGAUAAUUUUUUUUGAUAAAAGGUGGAUUAAGAUCAUCUGGCCCGGGAGACUUAUUUGGGUGCAUAGAAAAAGAAGUACAAUAGAAUUCAUCUUUAGUAAAAGGUGAUGUGAGAAAAUCAUCGUCGCUCGCAAAUAUACAUUGGGGCACCACUUCUAUAAUUUUAGUUUUACGACGAACCCUUCUAGAAGACUACACUUUUUAAUAAGGCAAGUUAAUUUUUUUUUUUUUUUGACAAAAAUAAGGCAAGUUAAUUAUUUCACACGUAUGUCCUUCUAAUAUUUUUUUAAUAAGGCAAGUUAAUUAUUUCACACGUAUGUGCUUUUAAUAUUUUUUUGGUGGUGAUAUGUACUUUUAAUAUGUUUCCUCUUUUUUCUAAAACAAAAAAGAAAAAACAAAAUAAUAUAAACAUUAUGUAUCUUGUGCGUACCAGAAUCUAUGAUGUAUUUCUCGCGUAUUCUGAACGUAUCUGAAAUGUAUCGGACAAAUUUUUUUAAAUAUAAUUUAAUCAUCGAAUGCUCUCUCGACACGUAUCGGGGCAUACAAAUAUGUAUCGAUGAAUAUCUUUAGUAUUUUGUUGUUUUUAUUUUUAUGACGAACUCUUUAUGGAAUACUAAAUUUUGUAAUAAGGCAAGUUAAUUAUUUCACACAUACAUAAUCUAAUAUGUUUUGAUCAUAUAGAUUUUUUUUUAACUUGGUUUUACUAUACUAAUAUGUGCAAUUUAUGGAUUUAAUUUAUAUAUUCUAUAGUUUAAAAUUACACUAUCAAACAAUCAUAAUUAUACUUUUAAAGUCAUACGCAUGAUUGAUUCAAAGGAACAUAGUCUCAAACUAACACCAUAACGACAAUAUAAGUGGGUUGAAGGCUCAAGAAAGAAAAAAAAAAAACAUAAGUUGGUUGAGAGGAACACACUCUAAGUAUAAAAUAUUUUACCAUAAUUAAAAACUCUUUCUUUGUUGAAAUACUUUAUAUUUUAUUUAUGGAGCAUAAAAUAUUUUACCAUAGUUAAAACUCUUUCUUUAAUUGAAAUACUUUAUAUUUUAUUUUUGGUAAUGUUUAAUUAACAUUUUAAUGACCCGUACGGUUACUCCGUGUCCAGUUCACACACGUAUGUAAGAUAAGGUAACGCGUAAAAUUUAUUUAAUGAAUGAAUGAACUUUUUUUGGUAAUUGGCUUCAUAAAUAUUUUAAUUUUUGGGAGGAAUUAUUGAAUAUUUUAAUGGAUACUUUUUAAAUUUGAUAAAUUAAUAUAUUUCUUUCCCCAUAUUAAGCCAAAAAUAAAGCACUGAUCGUGCAACGCGUAAAAUUCCUACGGGUGUCCUAUUUCGUAACAAUUAUUUUUAAAAGCGAUCCUCUUUGAUUUUUACUACGGCAGAUUCAAUUAUGACGAAUGAUUUGGGAGAAUUUCAUUUUACUAACCAAUAUAAUUUUGUUUGAGAGGUUCAUAAGUCAUAGCUCAAUUGAUAAAAAUGUCAAAAUUGUUCGGUUGUACGUCAUGACCGUGAUUCUUUGCCAUCUCGUUUAUCUAUAAAAAAAUAAAAGAAAUUGUUUGCGGAAUAAUUUUCAAAUUUACUAGUUUGGUUUAGAAAUAUUUUUUUAAUAGUUUUUUUGAAAACCAUAUUUUAGAUUUUUUUUGAAAAAUCAUUUUCAUUAUGAUAAAAAUUUGUUGAAUGACAAAAUAACUUAUUUAUUAUUCCUAAAAAGAAUAACUUUUGGUUUAUAAAGAUUUUUUAUUUAUCUUUCGUCAAAAGAGCGACUUUAGUAUUUACUUAUAAAGAUUAAAAGGAAGUGAAAAGUGACUAUUUAUAAUUUUUUUUCCAUAUUAUAGGUACAACAACAUUUCCACUGUUAUUUAGCGAUAAAUAAUUUUCACCAAAAAAUUAUACUUUUUUUCAACAUUUAAAUUCGCGAUCGAAUCCCAUGCUACAAAUUCGUGAUCGAAUCCAAUGCUACUUUUUGAAGGGUACAAAUUACUUAGUCGAAUCAAACAUUCAUUAAGGAGUUCUUAUUUGAUUGAAUAGUAUUUUUUUUUAAGGAAAUAGUAAAAUUAUUUUACCUAGAAAAUAUACUCUUGUUUGUUUUUUUAAAUAAAUGAAAUGACAAUAAUUUUUUUUUUGAACAAGCCAAAAUAAAAUAUAUUACUAUCAAAAAGACUUCUUAUCAACACAAGGUGUGCGAAUAAAAACGUCAAAUUAUACAAGGUAACUAAUCACAAGGGAGUCGAAACACAAAGUGAUUAGUCGAUACCCAAAUUAAAAAACAGGUUCGACCACCACGAAUGAAGAUUUAAGCUAACAUUAACAUUAUCGACCUUCAUCCACCUAAAAAAUAUAUCUUUAUUUUUAAGAAAUGGUGAAUGUCGAUUUCCUUAUUCUUAAAGAUUCUAUUAUUUCUUUCAUGCCAUAGAACCCACACAACAAAGCCAAACAAACUGUAUAAAAUUACGGCGCCGUCGCGUACCUUCAGAAGUGUAAACAAACUGACUGAAAUAAUUAUUGAAAACUCGUAUACAAAUAGAAUAACCAACGUUUAAACCCGAUCACAGUAUUCGACAACAAAUUUCAAUAUUUUUACAUUAUGAUUUCUAAAAUAAAUGCACUCUUAUUUUUUUAGGGGAAAAUGUACUUUUAGGGGCACUCCAUUUAUUACCGUAUAUGCAGCAAACCGUGUGAAAUUGCAUUGAAUCCAUAAAUAAAUAAAUAAAAAGAUUCUUUUUUACAUUUCUCUAAAAAUGAAAAUUUCCCUUUAUAAAUAAAUUACCAUACACAUGUGGAAAUUCAAUUUUCCAAUUCAACCAACCAAACAACUCCUUAACACAAACAUCACUCUCCCUUGUUUUCCACUAUUUUCUUACGCAUCACUUUCUCAGCAAUUUCUACUCUUUUCUCUUCUCUAUAAAUACUAACAAAAACUAACCCAAUCAAAAUCAAAAUACUUCUUCACAAAUCCCUAAUCCCUAAAAUCGCUAAAAAAAAAUCCCAAUUCUCAAACCUCACUGUAAUGGGUGCCGUCGUUGAGUGUUUACCGUCGCCGCAACAAGCGGAGGAGCUGGCGGUUCUUUCACUGAACAAGCUGCCGUUAGGGUUCCGGUUCCGGCCUACUGAUGAGGAGCUUGUUGAUUUUUAUCUGAGGAUGAAGAUCAAUGGAAACGGUGAUGAAGUUUGGGUUAUUCGUGAAGUUGAUGUUUGUAAAUUUGAGCCUUGGGAUUUGCCUGGUAAGAGAAAAAAAUUCUAUCUUUAAUCGUUUCUUGAAUUUAGGUUUUUUUGUUUUGUGAAUGAUUUGGAAUGGCUUUGAUUUGGAUAAGUGAUUGUUGUUGACUGCAUUUUGAUUGUGAUCAUCUGUGUUUGAUAUGUAAAUUUAUAAGUUGUUUUAAUUGUUAAUUAAUGGCCGUAAUUUUACUGUUUCUGUGUAAUUUUGCAUGUUGAAUGAGUUUUUUUUUUUCGUAUGGAAAAAAAUUGAUUUUUAAUGGUUAAAUGUGGUUAUGAUAUUUGAUUUGAUGGUUUUGUUGAUAUGGGUUUGUGGGGGACUUUUGUUGUAGGUUUAUCAGUUUUAAUGAACAUUAGUUUUGUUGAAAAUUAGGGAAAAUUAAUCUUGAAUGGUUAGAUGGGGCUAUUAUAUUUGAUAUGAUGAUUUUGUUUUUGUCGAUCAAAGAUUUCAUGGUUUUGUUGAUGAUGGGGUUUGUGGGGGGUGGGGGGUUUGUUGUAGGUUUAUUGGUCGUAGUGAACAUUAAUUUUGGUAAAAAAAAUUACUUUUGUAUGGUUGGAUCAUGUGGUUAUGGUAUUUGAUAUGAUGAUUUUGUUUGUUUAGUGAAAAUUUUAUGAUUUUGUUGAUGAUGGGGUUGAUGUUUUUUCUUUUUGUAGAUUUAUCGAUUGUAAGGAACAAGGAUCCAGAGUGGUUCUUCUUCUGUCCAAUGGAUCGGAAGUAUCCGAAUGGGAGCAGAUUGAACCGCGCAACAACUAACGGGUAUUGGAAAGCGACAGGAAAAGAUCGAAAGAUUAAGUCUGGUGCUACCUUAAUUGGAAUGAAGAAGACUCUUGUUUUCUACGCUGGUCGUGCUCCGAAGGGGCAGAGGACUCAUUGGAUUAUGCAUGAGUAUAGACCUACCUUAAAAGAGCUUGAUGGCACCAACCCUGGACAGGUCUACUCUCAUCUCCUCUCUUUUUUUUUUAUUUUUUUUAUUUUAUGUUUGAUUUUAAUGACUGAUUUGAAGUAUUUGUUGUUGACUUUGAGUCAAUGAUGCUGGUUGUUGUAACUUGAUUCUAACUCUAUUUGUUCAUUUUGUUCCAUAAUUUUUCAAUGCACUUCAUUACAUCUACCACAACUCCGUGUACCUUUAUCUUAUCUUGUUCUUAACUAACGCGAAGCUAAUGUGAUUUAUGACUGCCUAAGCAAUUAUAGAUGUUAAUGAUGAUAAUUAUAUGUUUCUAACUUCUCAACAUGGUUGAUUUGACUUAUGCCAGAACCCAUAUGUCCUUUGUCGCUUGUUUAAAAAGCAAGAUGAGAGUCUUGCAAGUUCAAACUGUGGUGAAGCGGAGCAGACUACUUCAACUCCUACGACUGCCAAUUACUCUCCAGAAGAAAUACAGUCUGACCUAAAUCUGGUUCCUCUAUCUUCCUCACUAGCGACAGAAGAUGAAAGGCACCUAGCAGCUAUCCCUGAGAACUCCGAGGAAGCAAUGUCCCACGUUAUAACCACAGCUGAUUGCUAUAGCGAUGCAUGUAAUGCUUCUGAUGCACAACAUCAGAGUUUAGAAGUACCGGCUGCAGAGGUAAGAUGGGCUAACUGCAACUGAGUUUAAUCUUUUAUUUGUUCCUUUCCUUUAAUGUUUUAUUUGAAUGAUCCUUCUAUUGAUUUGAAGUCACUGAAUUUGUUGAUUUCGUAACUAUACUUGAUGUUAACUAUUUCAGGAAGAUCAGCUGUUAAACUUGGACAUAUUUGACAGCCCACGAUUUGAGCUUGAGCCAUGGGAUGAUAAGUUAUUCUCCCCAGCCCAUGCACACUUUCCACCAGAAUUUGGCCAUCAAGCCAACAAUGAAUUAAUUCAGUAUGGUACAAAUGGGACAGAUGUUUCGGACUUUUUUGACUCGUGUGUUAAUUGGGACGAGUUCUCCAGUGAGGCGUCUAUCAGUCUUGAGCUAAGCCCAAACAUUUUUAAAAUUCCGGAAAAUGGGUCGUGCAGCAACUCGGAUGUGGAAAUGGCCAAUAUGAUGGUUAGUAACAGCUCUGACCCUUUUUUUUUUCUUUUGCUCAUUCUAAAUUUCUGCCAUCAGAAUGCCAUUUGUUAGUUUCAGAACACAUAGCGGCAGUUCCAACCUUUUUCUGUUAAUGUUCUUAAGCUAAUUGCCUUCUCUAAAUGACACCUCAAAACACAAAUUUUAUUGUAUAUAUGUGGGCAUAUUUAGCUCUGAUUACUAAUACCAUGGGUUUAAUGUUAAUCUGAUUGUAUGUUGCAGAACCUGCUAGCAUCACAUGAUUAUCCCGAGGGAGUGACUCUGCAAAACAGUGAUGUAGGGUUGUUUCAGAACAAUUCCCAGAUGACUCUUUCUAAUGAUUUUAGCAUGGGACAAAUGCCCACUGUGGUAAAUGAAUAUGAGCAAAUGUGGAAUUCGGAUACUGUUGUCGAUGGCGGCACUGGAAUUGGGAUAAGGUCUAGACAAAGACAAAAUGAACAACCAGAUAUGAACCAGGUGAUGCAAGCACAAGGAAGUGCACCAAGGAGAAUACGAUUGGGAGGAUUUGUUGCGCGUUCCCUGGUUUCUGAGACGACGGAAGAUGGGAGUUGUGCAUCAGAAUAUGAGCAAUCGAGGAUUUUGGAUACUGUUGUCCUUGGUGAUGACACUGGUAUAAGGAUAAGGCGUCGACAAAGAAGAAAUGAAGAGCCAAACAUGAACCCAGUGAUGCAAGCACAAGGUAGUGCACUGCGUAGAAUACGAUUAGGAGGAUUUGUCAAGCAUUCCCUUGUUUCCGAGGAGACUACAAAAGAUGAGAGUUUGCAGGAGACGGAAGCUUCAGAAAACCAUGCUGCUGCUGAGAGUGCUUCCGUCCUAGAGAAGACAUCUCCCAUGUCAGCAAGAGAGAUCUGUGAGCAACAUGUUACAACUGCAGAAUCCAACUCGGGGUCGAAAAACUUUCUGUUGGGCAGGGUUCGGUGCACUUCAAAGACAUCCUCGAUCAGCGCUAUGCGGUCUACUGUUCUUGCAUAUUCUGCCAUUGUAAUGGUCUCGCUAGUAUUGCUUGUUAAUAUUUGGGGAUAUGUUAGAUUUAGAAAUGCUUGCUAGCCGAUGAUUCCUGUGUAGAAUUUGUCUCCAUUACUUUUUUUUGGGCUAGUUAAGGAGGCGUUGAGGGUUGGCUUUCCUAUAUUUGUCGAUAAGUACAAUCAUAUAAUAGUAUGUGCAUAAUGCAGUCGAUUAAGAAAUUUCACCGUUCAAUUUUUGUUGAAGUUAAAUUUAGCUCCCAUCUUGAAAUUUAUAGGAAAAAUAUAUAUACUUUUUUUAGAGGUGGAAAAAUAUAUAUACUUAAUGAAAAUAAAUAUAGGAUUAAAUUACAUGUGCAUCCAUAUUUUUUACAGUAAAAAAUAAAAUAAAAGGCUUUUUUUGAUAGAAAUAAAUAAAAGUACACUUUCAUAUUUUUAUCACAAACCACAAUUUUUCAUACUCAUUAUAAUAUUUCCAUCGUAUCACUUUCGUCCUGAUUGAAAUUUUUUCUAUUAAAAUAAAAAUGCAUAUAUUAAAUUUUCACAUAUUAUUUUUCUAACAUAUUUAACGUUUUUGUUUUCCGAUAAUGCAGGAUAUGACCAUACCCAAGUUCAAUUACUAAGCAAAGAGAGAAAAGUGAACUUAAGCACGUACAAUGAGGACUCAAAUGCAUACAAUGAUGGUGGAAUUCAUUGUUCAAGGGUACUCACAAUCUCCCUAUCACAACUUUGGUCCAACCAACCUACUAUAGGUUUGAGCCCUUGUUUUCACUUAGAGCACAUAUGGCUGAAGCAAGGCUAGGUUCUAGUGAUUCAUUCACUAAACAUUGCAUGACGGUGAUUCGAGAACAUUACUUGAAGGUGUAUACGUCGUCUUUGAAGUGGUCCACGACUCAAAUUAUUGGCCCGAGUAUAAAGGUUUGUCAAUAUGCCACAAUCCAACCAUGCGAAGGUUAAAGAAAGAUUUCCCAAACAAUAGUCGCAUUACGAUUGAAAUGGACGCCUUAGAAAAACAGUUAAGAUAAAUAUGAACUGUGUCGAAUGUCCGGUCAUAUCCGCAAAUAUUAUCCUUAGAAAAUUGGCUUUGCUACUUAGUUGGAAGUAGAUUUUUUUAGAUGUCACGAUUAGCAUCGUUCCAAUAUUCUUUGAGGCUCCAACAGACAAGAGGCUUCAACAGCAACAAGAAAUGGUUUUCUAUAAUGAGGUUAAUGUAGUUGGUGCAGACUCUAAUGGAUCGUGUUGGUCUAUUCUACCUUGCUAUUCAACAUUUACUUGCCCAAAUAAUAAAAUUGUGUUAGGAAAAUAAAAAUACUGUAGAAAUAUUAAACCUACAAUAACAGACACACCUUGUGCGAGAUGAAUCUCUCUUGGUGUUUAAUAUAAUCUCAUUUUAAUUUCUUAAAAAAAAAAAAAAAAAAAAGAUAAAAACAACUGGUCUAUAUUAGAGAGACCAAACACUUCAUUCAGAUGUUAAAAUAUAGUAUACCAUUACAAUCAAAAUCCUACCCUUUAUCUAUGUUUGGUGUUUCUGGCGGAGAAUAGAAGAAUGUUCAACUGAAUUAAGGCUUAAUACAUCCCCCAGUCUUUUAACUUAUUUUAAUUUCUCAGUUUGGUUCUUAACUAUUAAGUGUUUCAGUUUAGUCCCCACUAUGAUUGUCAUAUGUAGUUGCUUCGAGAAAUAUUGUGUCAAAUUCACAUAUCAAAUAUGAAAAUAAUCAAAAUGAACAACUUUAAAAAAAACAAAGAAAAUAUCACAACAAAACCAUGGGAAAAAAAUAGAAACAGAACGUGAACAAUUCAGAUGUAUCAAUCAAAGGCCAAUUUGGUAUUAUUUCCCUAUGCACUCAAUGUGUAAUAUAUAUAACCUUUCAAAUGCAUGCACUCACACAGUAUUAUACGAAUAAAAAUAUAAAGAACUGAUAAAAACUUUGGGAAAUUUACAAGGGAGAAUUAAAACUUAGAGAAAAAAAUAAUAAUGUCUAAAAACAUAAAACAAAAAUGGUGAAACUUGAAAGAGAAAAAUAUAUGGGAAAGGAUACCAUAAUAGUAACAAUCCUAUCUUAAGCUAUCAAACUUAUCUUUUUUUCGAGAGAGAGAACUUAAGCAAUCAAACUUAAUUUUAUAUCAAUUUAACGUCCUAAGCAAUAUAAAAAGGAAAUAAAUGAAAAACUUGAGGACCAGUCUCACACACACACAUAUAUAUAUAUAUAUAUAUAUAUAUAUAUAUAUAUAUAUAUUGAUUGUAGAAUGGUUAACGAGGAGUUUAGCUCAAUUAAUAGGUACAAUACAUUAUAAAUAAAGUUUGUGGUUCGAACUCCGAACAUCUCAUUUAUUUACAUUAAGGGCAAAAUUCUAACUACUAAAUUAUUUGAAAAAUAAAAUAAAAUAUCAAUCCUCAUUAUCUCGUAACAAGUCAAAAAUAUCUUCUUGAUAAAGGGCUAAUUGGAGGAAUGCUUUAAGAUUUUGCAUGAACUAAGAGUUCUCAAGCUCAAUAUGAAGAUGUAUGUCUUCAACAUUCUCUUUGCUACCGUUGUUGUUUCAUGGACGUAUACAUAUAUUAGAAAAAAUUAUAAGGUUUAAUUUGUGGACGAUUAUUAAGGAAUUAAUUAAUUGUGUUGAUUUUAAUAAUCUAAUCCACAUGACUGAAUUUCAAACUACCUUGACUUUAACAUAUUUUGGCUAAAAAUGCAAUUUCAAAAUUAUUCUAAUUUACUGGUUUAAUUUCAGCUUACAAUGUAGGAUUUUGAUUAAAAAAUAAUCAGUUUUUAUCAGAUUUAUCAACAUCAAGAUGUACACUCUCAUUUGGUGAAGAAGUUGGUACUACGACAGCUUUUGAUUGAGACACAAUAGGCUGAUCAUCCAUGCUUGUUGAUAAUUCUGCUGCUGCAACACUUGUUUGAGGCAAACGUGGCAUUUCAUUCCUUUUACCCCACAAAAAAUAGUACAAUCCUAUUAUAAUCAAAACCAUGCCUAACAACCUGCACACAUAGCUUCUUGAGUUAGUGAUUCUUCUAAGCUUGAUUAUUAAAUAAAAUGAAAAUUGUUAUAAUAAGAAGAGGGAAAAAUAUUCAUACGUUCCAACUUUGAGUGGUUCACCAAGUAUGAUAGUGUCAGAUAUGGCAACGAAAACAAGAGCCAAUGGAUUGAACAUUGGAGGGAAAGUAGGUCCCUUAAUUUUAAUUGCCCAUGUUAGUAAACAAAAUGUAGCAGCUGUAGCCAAUGCUCCCUACAUAAUUCAAUCCUACUCAUUAGUGUUCAUGGUCCUCAAUUAGAGUAUACAUUCUCAUAACAAAUCACAAAGAUAGCUGAAAAUGUGUAGAAAACAAGUUAUUGGUGAAAGUUUCACAUUGAAUAAUAUGGCUUCAAUCAGUGGCGGAGAUAGAAAUAAUUUUCGGGGUGGGUCAAUUUGUGCUUUGUUCAUACAUAUAUUAAUAGCAAGAUUGAAAAAAAAAAAGGUUGUUACCUUUAAUGGUAAAGAAUUAUUAAAGUGUUGCAGUAUGCGCGGUACGAACCUUCAUGGUCUUUUUAAUUUAUUUUUAAAAAAAAUCGAAAGAAAUUAAAAAGAGUGUCCCAACAGAAGUUGAUCUUAAGACGUGCAAAACCUUUGCCAAACCGCUGAAACACACUGCAUGAUUAUUACUUCUAACGCAACAUAAAAUAUAUAAUAUAACAUCAUACUAUAAUUUUUGUAUAUAUACCUAUUAAAAAUGAUAUUUUUUAGGGUUUGGGCGGGCCGUGGCCCAUGAGUGGCUCCGCCACUAGCUUCAAUAGUAGUUAUAAAAGCAGAAAUCUCAUUAACCAGCUGAUUUUGUGAUGUUGAGUUACUAUGCACCUAAAUACUAAGAGCAGUGCUAUAUCUUUAGAAAAAUAAUAUCAAGAAUUCUUCAAAAUAAGAGCAGUCAACCACAAUGCACUAUUUGCCACAAUUCAAGGAGGUGUGACUGAAAAAUAAGAAGUGUACAAAUAAAUCAUGCAAUUAAAACUUGUCAGUGCUGGAAAUAACAUUUUCCAAAUAUUAAUAUUCAAAUUAUCUUAGAUGUCCCGUGUUUAGCCACAAAAAUGUAUCCACUUGUCAUUACACUACCUGAGUGGCGUUUUGGAUGUCAAUUCUAAAUGUGAAUUGACCAAAUAAAGUUUUCAAAAUUUAACCAAAUAAUUAAAUUCAUUUUGAAGCUAGCUAAGCAUAAUUCAGCAAAUGAUCUUACCGAGUAUAGUAUAGUAAUCAGCUGUAGAUUCCAGUCUAAUCUCCAAGCUUCUUUACUUUGAUUUAGGCAUGCGCCUAUUGUUGCUGAUUGAAUUGCGGCCAUAACACAUGAUAGCAUUAUUCCCCAAUACCUCAAUGGAAAUACUUUCACCAAUUUUACCUGUUUAAAUUCAAACAAAACAUGCAUACUUGGAUAAUAAUAACAUAUAUUUUGAGCCAUAAUAUGUUUUAACGCUCAAUUGUAUUUUUAUAUAAGAGUUAAGCCGAAAGAAAUCAGAAUCAUCUCAUUCAAGUGUUCUUGGCAAUCAAUAAAAAAAGAAAGUGAGAGACAUACUUGAAGAAUAAACCAAGCAGUGUAAGAACAGCAUGCUCCAACCAAAAAGAAAGUGCCACGAAACAUGUGAGUUUUGUGUGCUGCAACAGCACUAAUCUCAGCAGAAUGGUGACUAUGAUGAUGAUGAUGAUGAUGAUGACCAAUAUAAAAUUCCUUCCCUUUGUAAAGACUCGUUGCUAAUGCUCCACCAACACACAUAAUAGCUCCUAUACACUUGGCUCUACCACCCCAUGUUCCAAUCUUCAAAUUCUCCAUUCUGCAAUUGCACUCAUCCAAAAAUUUAUAUAUUUGGAAGAUUAAUUUAUUUAUGUAGUUAAAUUAAAUUAGAUUAUAUACCUGCAUAUGAUAGAAGUUAAGAAUGUCAAUAUAGGAACCAAGUUGAGAAAGUUGACGGAAUAAGUAGCAGUUGUGUCUCGAAGACCGUAAUAGAAUAACCCUAGAGCCAUUGUCAUCCUGCAUACAUAUAGGUACCAUCUUAAGUUAUCAAAUAAUAUUAAAAAUCUGUGAAUUAGUCACAACUAUAGUUUAAAAGAUACAUUGCAAGUUGUUUAACACUAGUAGUGUAUAUUAAAGUUAAACUUGUGUGAUAAAUGUUUGUGGUAAAACAAAGUACCCGCAUGCACAAUUAUAAUGACUAAUUCUUUAAAGUAAGUGAGAUAUAAUUUUAUCUAAUACUUGUGCUACACUAUUUUGAUAUACAUUUCCAAUUUUAUUUAGUACUACAUUUGAGGUUUUGUUAGGACUGUCAACUAGUUCCCUUUCCUAUGUCUAGGAUACUUGAAACAUUUAUUGUUCUACUUUUGUUUCCUUAAUUGAUGUUAUAUGAGAAACAUGUUGGCUGUAAGAAACAUAGCAUAGCAAAUCAGGAUGUUGACAUGGAUUAGCAUUUCAAGAUAAAAUAAUGCUGAAAAUACUAAUUAUUUUUUACAUGGAAUAUUUUUCUUUUAUGGUGGUCAGGAUUCGAACCUCAAACCUUACAUAUAUUAUACAUUGUCCAUAUUGAGUUAAACUCACGAGGACUUUUACAUUGAAUAUUUACAUGAGAAGUCAACAUAGCAACACUGAAAAUAAAUGAGUGUGGAUUCAUUGAUUACUAGGAUUCAUUGAUUACUUUUCUACCUUAUGUACCACUCUAUGUUUUGGAUUCAUUUAUUAGUUUCAGGCGUACAGUACAGUAUAUGAUGAGAGUGGCAUAUAACCAACGAUCUCACACAUAUAUUAUAGAGGUUCAUUUCCAAGAGAGUGUUUUAAUCUAGUUUUAAAAAAAAAGGAAUAUUAAAACCAAAAACAAAUAAAAAUAUUAUGCAUACCCCACGAAUCCGUUAAGGAAAAGCCAGAACCAAACUCUCCAAUUGAACUUCUUCGCCUGUCCUCUGCAACCAUAAGUAACCAAUAAAUAUCAUUUCACCAUAACAAACAAAUUGAUCCAACGGUUCUUUUUUAAGAAUACAUUUAGGCACGGAGAUAAUAAUAAUAAUAAUAAUAAUAAUAAUCUUGACAAAAAAAAAAUGGUUUUAAACCAUACCUGCUUGACAUUGGUCUUUGGUGCUUUAAGUGUAUUUAGACAAUAGAAAAUAGUCGAUGAAUAAUUAAAACAAUAAAUUAUUCGAAUAAGAGAGAGGUUGGUUAAAAGAGAUAAGAACAAAGACAUCAAGUAUCAAUGACAUCCUUGUAAAAUCUCUGCUUGGAUUGACUUAGACUUUGUUUAGAAUAAAAUAGCUAAUAUGCUAAUAGAGAAUAAUCUAGCUGGUUGAAUUUGUAGUGUUUGAUAAAAUUAGUGGUUGAAUUAACUUUUAAGGGCGGUUGAAUUAACUUUUUUUUUGAGGGAAAAUUAACUUAUAAGUAUGAAAAGAUUAAAAAAAAAAAAUCAAUUAAGGUUAUAAGGGUAAAAUUGAGAUAAAAAUCAAAAGUUACAAGCUACUUUAAUUACCUUAUCAUAAAAUGUUAUAAGUUAGUAAAAAUAAGCUAUAAACUCGUGAGAAAGGAACAUGAUCAAACAAGUCUUUUUCAAUGAAAUGUGCUUAUAAGACAUAAAUUCUGAACUUAAAUAUGACUUACCAAAUAGACCUUUAUAGCGGUUAGAUGAUAGGCUAUAUUAUAACUAAUAACAGAUAAGUAGGCUGGUUGAAUUUGCAUUAUUUGGUAAAAUUAGAGGUUGAUCUACCUUAUAAGUAUGGAAUGACAAAAAUCAUUUAUUUAAUCUUUUUCAACUAAGAAUACAUGGGUAAAAUUGGAAUAAAUAAUGAUAAGUUAUAAGCUACUUGAACUAGCUUAUAAAAAUUGCAAUAAGUUAGUAAAAUAAGCUAUGACUUCAUGAGAAAGUGACGGUUAUCAAACAUGUCUUUUUUAGUCAAAUGAGUAUAUAAGACAUAUGCUAUAAGCUCAAAAAUAAGAUUUUCCAAAUAGAUCCUUAGUGGUGUUGGUUUAGUUUCUUGAAGUGUAUUUCUCCCAAAGUAUAAGGUUGAUUUUCCCUGAUACCAACUUUGAUGGCUAAACCAUUCAGAGCUUUGUUUUACAUAAGGGCUAAUAAAUGGACGGUGAGAUUUUAACAAUCGAAUUACUCGAUCUCUAGGUCAAAUACUAUGUUAUAUUUAGCUGGACAUGCACCACUAUCUGCAUGAUUGCCACAAAAAAAUAAAGGGCUGGGAAAAAUUGAAAUAAAAAAGAUAUGAACACAGAACAAAAAGGGAAGUAAAGUGCAUGGGAAAGAGUACUAUAUAUACUAGGUAGAUUAAUGCAACAAUUUGCAAAUAAAAUAUAGAAUUGAAAAUGAAUUACCUUUCAAAAUAGAGUGCAAAAGGAGCAACACAAAUAGCAGCAACAAUAUGUCGAUAAGCAAUGAGUGCAAAAAUGUAAGUCCCUUGAACCAAAAUGACUCUUGAUAGAAGUUGCAUCCCAGUUGCAAAUAUUUGCACUAAUAACAUACUAAGAAGUGCUUGUGAUGAUUUGAACCAUUCCUUCAUACUUUCAAUUCUCUCUGUGUUUCCCAUGUUUCUUAUCUUUGUCUCUAAGGAAAAAAUAUGAAAAGAGAAUAAAUAAACUAUUGGUGUUAUUAAUAUAUAAGAAGAAUGACAAACUAUAUAUCUACAGUGCAGUGUUCACUGCUCAAGAAAUAAAUGGUGGAAAAUAUCAAAAGAAUUGGUCCUGACUCCUGAAUAGUUUGGCUAUGUAAAAAUUAACCAAAAGUCAGUUGUAGUAAUAAAUGCUGGAAAAUAAAUUGACAAAACAGGUGCCAUGCAUUAGAGUACAGGAGAACUCUUUGUGUCACACUAUGGUAAGUUAUGUGUCGACAUUACAUGUUGUUCUGUGUCAUUCGUGGGAAGAAGGAUACAAGAAAAACUAUAUAGUACCACUUUGAAAUUAAUUUCAGAGGAAGAGAGUACAGACUAUACAGUGCCCUACAAAACCUGUAUAGUACCAAGAAAAACUUCUAUGUCAAAUGCAUAAAGAAUGAAUCACUUAUGUAAGUUAUGUUCAUUCAAAAAUUAAAAAAUAGAAGACACUGAUUAUUGAAAAGUUUUUAAUAAAAAAAAAAGUUAACAUUAAAUUAAAAUUAUUUUUAAUGAUAUUUGUACAACUACUUUGUGACAACUUUCUCUCUCAUACUCACAUUAUCCUCUUAUUCCCUCUCUUCAUUUUUCUCUUUCCAUUGUUAUUAUCCAAUAAAAAGAGAGAAAACAAAGUUGUCACCAAAAAUUAUAUAAAAUAGUUGUUUAAAUAUCACUGCUCUUGCCGCAUUUUUUUUUUUUUUUUGAAAGACUCUUACCACAUUAUUGAACUCAUGGAAUUGAGACUAUAAAUUUUGCUUAAACAUGGACCACACCACUAGAUCAAUAUACACUUAUUAAUCGGCAUUCGGCAUCAGCAUAGAAGCUUGGAAGUGACAUCAGCAUAGAAGCUGUUAAGAUUGUCUUGCAAUUGAGUUUUUUUUUUAAUCAGCAAAAUUUUAGUAAACACCAAAUCCUUGUACAACGAACAGAGAUUGAUGAUACAGGAAGUAUAAUCAAAAGACAUCGCAUAUAGACGGAAUAUUAAAAAAUAAACACCAAUAAAGACACCUCUACAAUCGACACUCAUGAAAAUAACAUCCACUAAAAUAAACACUUAAAGUUACUCCUAUACAACCAACCACCGAAAAAUAAAAUCCAUAACAUUCAUGCCCACUACUCAUCCAAAAGAACACUUUUAUAAGUACUUUAGAUUCAAGUUAUAAUGAAUUGUCUUCUAAUCUAUUUUUAGAUAGAUAGUUACUUCAAAUUGGCAGCCGGUUCUUUUGGGGUUGAGAAGCUUUUAGGGGUUAUCCACUUAUAAAAAUGAUACUCGAAGGUUUAGAGGUUGACCUUGAAAGAUCGUUUAUUAAAAAAAAAAAAAAAAAUGAAGAAGAAAUUUUUAUUUUUUUUUUAAUAAAAAAAAGAAGAAGAAGUUGUUUAAAGUUUAUAAAAAUCUUUUAUAUAAAAAAAAUAGAAGUUGUUUAACAUUUAUUUAUCAAAAUGAAAAUCACUUUUUUUAAAAAAAUAAAUGUAGAAAAUGAUUUUUUAAAGAAUUUACUCAACAAUUUCUCAUUUCAAACAAUUGUUAAGAUAAUUUUUAUAUUUUCAUUAUGUUAAGAAUUUCUAAUAGACAUCUAUGAUUUUUCCCCUCAAAAAACAAACAUACAUAAACUUCUUCUCUUAAAAAACAUACAUAAACUUCUAAAAUUAAUUAAUUAAUUACUUUAAAAAAACAUACAAAAUAAAGUGUAACAAACUGGUUAUUAUAAAUAACUACGUACCCACAAGUUAAAUUAAGGGUUCAGAGUAUACCAAAAUAAAAAUAAUAAUUGAGGGUUCAGAUAAUUAUGUAUUUAUUAUUUUUUUGACAAAAGAUAAUUAUGUUCUUUUUUUUUUUUAAAAAAAAAAAACUGCACAUGAUGUUUUAUGCGCUUAUGUCACGCCCAUUUUUGUGCUUAUGUCACGCUCUUCUGUUUAAAAAGCUAAAAGCUGAUUUCUCCACGUAAUCCAUUGUUACAUGAUUCACCUCUUUAAUCCUUCAGUUCCGAUCAUUAAUUGAUUUAUGCACCUAACAUCUGUUUUAAAUUCAAAGAGCAAUUUUUUUUUUUCUUACUCUAAAAAUGAAAUAGUUUUUGCUUAAUACUCCAAAAUUUCUUUUAGACGCUCCUCACUUCAUUAUCUGCAAACAUACUUGUACCAUUUUUGUACAUCUUAUUGCGUUAAAUUAUGUUCAAAUUCUUUUAUAUAAGUAAUAUUAUGUUCAAGUUCUAGUACAUACAUACAUUCUAAAUCAAAUUUGUAUGAUGAAUCAAUAAUAGCAUUAGUUUAUACUAAUAAGCUUUGUAAAAAAUACUAAGGAUACAUGAAAAAAAAAUAUAUAUUAAUUGAGAGGCUCGUGACUAACCUCUUUCAAAACUCGUAAACUGAUUGAUCUGAAUUAGUUGAAAUCAUGAAAUCCAAUUAGCAAUAACAACAUUUCAUCAAUCUGUAAUACAAUGGUUUAGUUUUAGGUCUUAUUCGCAAUGUAAAAUAAACUCCUCAACUAUAUAUAUAUAAAAAUGAAAGAAGAUUAUUACUAUUAUUAUUCAAUUAAAAAAACAAAGUGAAUACCGUAAUACCUUGAGAAUAUAGGCUGAAGGUCAUUUGCAUGAUCUCUUGAUUUUGUAACUAAUCAAUACAGAAACUAACACAUGUAUGUACAUCUCGUGUGGGUAUUGAUAACAAUGAAUUUAAUUUAAUUGAAGAGGGAAGAUAUUUACGUAGCAAUCAUAAUAUACGGAGAGGAGGUUUUAAAAUUCCCACCUUCCAAUCACAAGUUUGUUACAUGAUCAAAAUCAUGCUAAAAUAUAGUAAGCACAAAUUAACAAUAAUUCACCAAAAUAAUAAAAUAAAAAAUCACCAAAAAACAAAAGUUAACAACCAUAUGGAGAAAAAUAAGGUCAAUCUGAGUCACACACACAGGGUCAAGGUCCACUUGUAUUUUCAAUUGACAUGGUCAUUUUUUAAUGAGAUGGUCUAUUCACGUACCAAACAACCUCUUAUUUUCUUUCAAAAAAAAACUCUUAUUUAAUCCUUAAAAAAAAAAAAUACACAACCUAUUAUUAUUUGAGAGAUUAAAGACCAUGCAUCAUCAUUGUAAAUUUAUUUUACGUUGAUAACCAAUCACAGAUUUUCAAGACUUAAAAUAAAAACUAAAAGUAUUACAACAAAAAUAAAAAUUGCACUAAUUCAUCUUAUAAGGUGAAUUCUAGUCACUGGACUAUCUGAUAAAAAAUUAAUUUUUUUUGAAAAAGGUAGUUAUUAUGCUAUGGUUUGAUGUGUUGCGAAUCAUGAUUGAUUGUCGGUAUAAAACAAUUUUGCAAUGACAUAUCCUUUAAUCUCCUUAUAUAAUGAAAUGGUCUUUUUUUUUUGUUUAAUAAUUUAAAUUUUGAAUUAAUUUUAACUAAAGGAUACUAUUAUAUUACCCAUUAAAACUCUAGGUACAUAAGAAUUUUCUGUUUAUUCUUGUCAAAAGGAGUCAACUUAUACAUGUUUAAAUUUUGACAAACUUCAGCAAUAAUUACUUAAAUUCUAUGAAGCCCCGUUACAAAUAUGGGUGCGGGUAUGAUACAAUACGGGUACGCGGAUACGCGAAUUUUUUUAAAUUUAGGAUACGUUAACAAAAAUUUAUAAUAAAACUUAUAUGUAUGUAAAAUACUUGAAGAAAAUUAACAUUGAUUACUCUUCAUUAUUGUAUUAUUAUAAAAGUUAUAAUUUUUUCAAAAUAAUACAUGUGAUCAAAAUAAUUUUUUUUGAAAGUUUUCUUAUAAACCAUAUUACAUUUUCAUAUGUUGGGAUAUUGAGAGAAACAUCAUUAAAAGAAUUCAACACAAAUUUUAUCUAAUGUUGAUUAACUGAAUCACAUCUCUCGCUACAUUCAUCCACAAGAAGUAUAAUUUUAAGUGUUUCAUCGAGAAACAAUUCUAUUGAUGCAUAUCUAAAAUUGAGUCAUAUACAUCUAUAAUGAAUUUUUACAACAUUGUCUCACUUUUUUAGUCUUCAUCUUUUUCUAGGAUACGUGUCUGUGAAGUAUCUUAAAAAUAUCCUUGUGUAUAUGUGGAGUAUCACAUAAGUAUCCGAUAAAAUAUUUAUUAAAAAUUAAAAUAAUUAAUUCCGAUACUUCUUGGAUACGUAUCUGCGAAUAUCCGUGGAGUAUCGGUAUCCGAUACGUAUCCGGUACGGGCACAUCUCCGUUUUGGAGUAUCCGGACUUCAUAGCUUAAAUUUAUUUGCUUAUUCAAGUUAUAUUUUCACCCACCUAAACAUGUUUAAAUUUACUGUUGUGUUCGGAUGAAAUUUUAGACAAUAUUCAAAAGCUUCAAUUGAAUUCUCUUUAUUUCUAAAUAUUUUUGAUUGGAUAAACGAAUGGAAUUAUGCAUUUUUAAAGUUUGCUAAGCUAUUUUUAUCAAAUUUUAAAGAGCUGAGGGGAUCAAUUCAAAAUUUGAAAAAUAGGGAUCAAUUUACAAGAUUUAAGAAUUAUAGGGACCAAUUUAUAAAAUUUGAAAUAACUUUAAGGACCAAUUUGAGAUUAGUAUAAUACAGAGUAAGUAAUGAAUUUCAACUUCUCAAUUUUAUGUGGCAUUUGAAAUUCCUUAAACUUAGCUUUGAUAAAUCAACUAUCAACUACAUACAACAAAUUAAUAAUUAGGAAUGAAACUAAUUUUCAUAUGUUAGAAACAUAUGAAAUAGUAAAAUAAUAUACUAAAUUUAUCUUAUAAGUAAUUUUGAAAACAUAAAAAAACGCACAAAUAAUAGAUUAAUACAAUAUAUUGUACUAAGAAAAAAAGUAUUGAUAUUUGUAUGUGGUCUGGUUCGGUUGGUUUUGAAAAAAGGGAUCCAAAAUAUAUUCCAAUCAAAAGGUUGUCACAAAAACACAUUCAAACACAUCUAAUAAAUGUUAAUUUUGUGCAAUUUUCAUUUUUAUUUUAUUUUAAUCGGUUUACGAUUUUAUUUUAAACUUGUUUGAAUGUGUUUGUUCAAAAAAAAAAAAAAAAAACUUGUUUGAAUGUGAACACCCAUAACCAAUAAUAUAGCCUAGGGAACAAAGACAUACUCACUGAAGCAUUCAAAUUAGCUUGCGUGUGAUGAUAUUUACGAACCCGAAGGCAUUCACAAACACACAAUUAGCUCAUGUAUUAAGAACACAGAUUACCAUAUAAAAUUGUAUAAUACAUCUAUCUCAUUUUUAUAAAAUCGAUUUGUAGAGUUAGAGAUGUCACUUUUUCUAAAAUCUUAUUAAGAGGUAUAUCUUUUAUAUGUUGAAUAUAAAAUUUUCUCUAUACAACCUUUUAAUACCAUUUCAAGACCUUUUCCAUAUUGCUGAGAGUUUUGCAGAAUGCAUUUUUUUCCAUAUUGUGCAGGUUAUCAAGUCAUGAGAGUAAUGAUAUGGCAACGAUGGUUUGGUGCUUAUAGCGACACCGAACUGAUAAAGUUUGGGAUGGGGAGAUGAAGUUGAUCAUCACAGCAGUUCAGCUGGCAAAGGAGUUUCUGCAUCAGUGGCAGGCUGCAAGAAGUAAACCAAAUUCGCAUGUGCAACAUCAAGAACAACAUACAACACGAUGGCAGCCACCAGAACAUAAUUACGUCAAGUACAACUUCAAAAUUGAAUCUGGAACUCGACUCACACUCACAUAGUGACAUUGAAUCCUGACUAGGAUAAAACGUCAACAUAGGUUCAAAAUAAAUUUAUAAAGUUACAUACAUCAUUUAAUGAAUAAAUCUAAAAAUCAAAUCUUUGCUUAUAUUAAUGACCGGAGGGUGUAGUCUCAAAAUAACAAGAAUUUUCAAGAAGUUAUUAGUUCGAACGACAUUUGUUUUAAAAUAUAUAUGUACUAUAUGUUAAACCAAAUUCAAUUAUGGAUUAAUUUAGGAUGGGGGUAUAAAUAACAAACUACGGUAACAAAGCCACGAUAAUCAUAAACAAGAAAUUCAACCCUCUUCUAGUCUCUAAGGGAUACACACACCAACAAUUUGAUCAGUACUUAUAGUCCUUAACAUGAAGACUCUCUGAUGCACCAGCACCAAGUUUAGAGUUACCCUUGUAAGUUCCAAGAGUAGCCUCAGAAUUAGCCUUGGCCCUUGUCAACAAAGCUUCUUGUGCAGCCUUCACAUUUUCUUCUUUUCCAGACCAUGCCUUAAGGGUACUCUGUUGAAGUGCCAUUCCAAAAGAGAAAGAAAGAGUCCAUGGCUUCUUACCAUUGACUUGGUUAAUGGCGUUGAGGUUGACGCUGGCCUCUUCCUCACUCUGUUCACCAGAUAAGAAAACAACAGCUGGGACUGCAGCAGGUACGGUUCUCUGCAAAGCUCUAACGGUGUGCUCAGCAACAACCUCGGGUGCAACCUUUGGUGCAUCAGAUCCAGGGGUAACCAUGUUAGGCUUCAAGAGAGUGCCUUCAAGGAGGACAUGGUGGUCAUUCUAGGCCUUGUAGCAUGCUGCAAGGACCUUCUCGGUAACAGCAGCACACUUUUGAAUGUCAUGAGGUCCAUCAACAAGGAUCUCAGGCUCAACAAUUGGUACAAGUCCAUUCUCUUGGCAUAUGACUGCAUAUCGGGCCAAACCAUAGGCAUUCUCGUGGAUAGAGUGCUCAGAUGGCUCAUUGGGGCCGAUUUUAAGCACUGCACGCCAUUUAGCGAAACGUGCACCAGCUUCAUAGUACUUAGCACAACGAGCACCAAGUCCAUCAAGACCCUGAGUGGUGGUUUCUCCAUCAGUUCCGGCAAGCUCAACGGUACCCUUGUCAACCUUGAUACCAGGAAGCACACCAGCUUCGUUCAAGACAUCAACAAAAGGCUUGCCUAAAAAAAAAUACAUUCAUGUAAGUGUACAAGAACAACAACAAUGUCAUCAAUCUUAAUUCACACACGACACAUAGAAGCAAUCGAGAACAGCCUCGCCAGAAGGAAAACCACUAUUUUCCAUAAUCUCAAAUUGACAACACAUACAAGGCAUAAUGUACCAAUUGGCAUGUUAAAGGCCAAAGAAAUCAUAACAAUGCAUGUUCAAAGACAUUGGCAUGAUCAGGAAGCAUGUUGAAAACAAGAUGAUCAACCAUGUAACAAAAUUAUAAGAAAACGUGUUGAAGGCAAUUAGUGAUAUAAUGUGUACCAAACUUUAACAAGACAAAGCAAUUGACAUGAAAAAAGUACAUUUUCAAAGCCAUUGACAUAAAAAAGCAUAUGUUGAAAGCAAUUAAGGAUAUAUCAUCUACGAAACUUUUACGAUAUAAAUCAAUAGACAUCAAAAUAAUGCAUUUACAAAGGUAUUAACAUGAUAAUAAAACAUGUAUUGAUAAACAAUUGAAGGACCAAACUUUUAACACAAAAUGUUGUGAGUGAGUACCAGCAGUGGUGCUUUGGUAGAGGGUUUCCUCAGAGAGGAUUACUCCACUAAGAUACUGAAGGACACCAGGGGCGGUGAAAAGGAGUUCACGGAGAGCACGUCUGUUGGAUUCAACAUUCUCAACGCCGAUGCUAGCUAGGCGCUUUCCAAUUGUUCCGGUUGACUCAUCAGCAGCAAGAAUACCUUUUCCAGGUGUGCCGAUGUAUGCAGCAUUGGCAAUAAGCUCAUCUGCAAAUUCUUACAAACAUCAGUACCAACAUAAAUAUAAACCUUACAACAACAAUUAUAAUGAAUAAAUACCCAGAAAUAAAGAUGAUUAGACUCGCACAAAAUCAAAUUAUUAACAGUGAUCUAAAAUUUAUAAAGCAAAUAACUUAUACCAACAGUAUCUGAAGAAAGAUGGUUGAUUCCUUCUUGUUCAAGUUUCUCAGCUACGUCAGCCAUGUCUGAUGAUGAACGAACCUUGUAACCUAAUACUGCCAGUAACUCGUCCAUUCCACCACCACCGUUGUUUGUGUUGUUGUUUUGCAUUGAUUUGUUGAAGUGGAUAGAUAGAUAAGGAUUUAGAAUUUCAGUUGGAUCAUAACAAAAUGGGAUUUGUGUUUAUGGCUUUAAUGGGAUACAGAGGGGUCGUCCACUAUGAAAUCAUGAUCAUAUAUUAUAAAGUGAUGACACAAACCAAGUCCUUCAAGUAAAAAAAAAGUAGAAAACGAAAUGAAAAAGCAAAAUGGAUAGAACUUUUUAAAAGCAACAUUGACAACUUUCCAUCAAAAAACUUAGUCAGGAUUUACUUAUACUCUGUUAAAACUAUAUUUGAUUUUGAAUUAAUUUAAUAUAGAGUAUAAAUCACUGACUGCUGUUCAUAACGUAGCAAGAUAACCGCAAUCAAAAUAAAUAUAACUAAGAACCACCUCAUUUUGAAAUUUGAAUAGGAGUAAAUAGUCAAUUUCAAAUUGUAAGUUUCGUCAAUUACCCUCCUGAAAUUAACAAAACUUCAAUUACCCCCUGAAAUUGCAUAACGUUAAUCAAUUUACCCCCUCCGUUAAAUUUUUCUGUUAACUGUUUACGGUUAUAAUCAAUUACCCCCUGAAAUUUUGCACUUAUGUGCAAAAUGCCCCCUAAACUUGAAAAUUUAUAUUUUUUUUUUUAUCCUUCACUCAAAAAAUAUUAAAGGCAAACAAAUUAACAAUUAUUGAUCAUAUAAUAAAUAUGUAUGGAAUGUAUGUUUAUGCAGCUAUUGGUUAUAUAAAUCUUUAUGGAAGGUAUGUUACUCUCAUGUGUUUUAAAUAUAUACAUAUAUAGAAUUUUUUUUUUACAUAAGUUGGUAAUUAUGUUAGAGUAUGCAGUCAUAAAGUACACAAGUCUUUGAUAAUUGUGUGUCCAUAUGUUAAUAUGUGCAGAAGUAAGAAGAAACAAGGCUUGUUGAUAAAUAUGAAAUAUGAAUGAAAAGGCUGCACAUGACAAAACCAUGAUUUCUUUGGCAUAUAUUCAUUCAUUUUCUUGUGAAUAGAAUUUUUAUGACAAUAGGUACAAUAUACUACUUGAAGAACUAAAUGUAUGAUUUUUUGUAAGAAAAAAAAUCUAAAUUUUUAAGAUUAGGGGCAUUUUGCAGCAAAAUUUCAUGGGUAUUUGAUCAUAAUCGUAAACAGUUAACAAAAAAAUUGAUGGAGGGAUAAAUUGAUUAACGUUAUGCAAUUUCAAGGAGGUAAUUGAAGUUUUGUUAAUUUCGAGGAGUAAUUGACGAAACUUACAAUUUUAGGGAGGAAAUGGACUAUUUACUCAUUUGAAUAGUCUCAUACAACCUACAGAUAGACAAUUUGAACCCAGUUAGGAUCAUCGCGGUCACAUUAUUUCCAGGGUCUCAAAAUAACCCCUAUAUACAGUAAAAUCUCCUCCAAACAAGAAUUAACCCCUAUAUACAGCAAAAUCUCCGCCAAACAAGCUAUGCUCACAAAAACUCAAUAGUCCUAUUUAAUCCCGACUAAGAAUGAUACUCACAUUUAUGUUUGAUGCACAUAAACAUAUAUUUUGCCUCAACGGAAGAAAACCUAUAGAAUACUGGAGAAAAUACUCUCAAUUUUCAAGACAUUAGUUAAAACAACAUUCAAUUUCGGAUUAAUUUAGGAUGAGAAUCUAAUGUGUAAAUGAAGCCACAUAAUUUCAAAUUGAAAAAAGAACUUCACUUCGAAAUAGUGUUUUAUAAUAACCCUUUUGCUCGGGUUGGACCAAGUACACUGAACCUGAAAUUAUCAAAAGAACAAAAAGAAAACAAAAAGAUAAAACUCCAACCAAUUAUUCUGUCUCGCAAGUCAAACCACAAUACUCAAAAUAACAACAAAAUAAACCCUUUUUCUAGUCUUCAAAAGAGACACCAACUUUGACUCAUCAAUACUUGUAGUCCUU
Molecule: long non-coding RNA, 46671 nt
Filed under: Medicago truncatula (barrel medic)
Lineage: Eukaryota; Viridiplantae; Streptophyta; Magnoliopsida; Fabales; Fabaceae
Description: long non-coding RNA (MTRU_LNC003439)
Source: RNAcentral